UGGCGAUCGCCUUUUGCGCCAUGGCGCGAGGCGCACUCAGGCGAUGGCUCUGUCGCCAUGUACCUCCUAGGCGAGGGUGGGUUCCGUAAGGCGCACGCCAUGGGUGCCUUGUCGAGAAGGCGAGCAUGUCCAAGGCGAGCGUAAGGCGAGAUUAAUGUAAACCGUAUCUAAACCAGGUAUGAAACCAAGCCUUAAUUAAUAAUUAAACCUAAGACUUCAAAAAAACUUACCGUCGGGGAAACUUAAACGCCUAAAUAACAAUGAGAACCCUAGCUUUAUAAAAGAGAAGUUACGUAAAACAUAAACAUAAAUCUUAAGGUUUUUUGUCUAAGGUUAGAACUCUCUAAUCUCUACUCUUUCCAAUCUCGUUUAUGCUUAUUCUUCUUAUAGAUUCAUGUGUUCCUUUGUCACAGAUUAGAACGUACUGCGGUUGCUUCGGUCGGAGUUAACACACACGGUUAGUCUUUUACUCUCUGCACUUUCUUUUUUUUUUUGUUCUCUUUUUUGUCUUCAUUCUGUCUCAUUUUUGGUCAGUGAUCACAGUCUAGUUAUGGAUCAUAACUUAUGAUCAGUAUGGUUUUUUUUAUUUUGAUCACAGUUUUAUUAUGAUAUUAUCUUUUGGUUUCUACAUUUGAGAUUUUGUUUUUGGGUUUUCUUUUUGAAUAAUUUUGUUUUGGUUUAACUAUCUUCGAAUAAUAAAGCUUGCAACUUAUUUAAAUUAGUGUAUCAAUCAUUGCAUAAGAGUUUUCUACGUUUCUUCUCCAAUACAAAACAAAACAAGACGUAACUAAAAUGCUGUAACUAAAAAAAAAAAAAAAAAAUGUCGUAACUAAAAUGUUCUUCAAGGCGAGCGCCAUAUUGCGCCAUGGCGCGAGGCGCAAGGCUCGGCACGUCUCGCUUUGGUGCCCCAUGCGCCAUUUUAAACAUAGAUUUUUCAUCAAUUAACAUAACCACACCAGAAGCAUUCCCCUUGGACACUAGACCACGCGCAAGAGCCUCGCUUGAACAAUCAAACGAUACAAAACUUAAGAUAAGAAAGUCACACAAACGCAGCAGAACCUAUACACAUCAGGACAAAGUAGACUCACAGGUAGCCGAGAGAAUGAAUUGAAUGGUCGAGCUGUUCAAGAUGAACAUCCGAGCUGCCAAAGUUCACUAAAAGACAGAAUUUUCAAGAAAUAAGGAUACACAUCUAACAAAUUGAUACAAAGUGACAAUAAAGAUUUACCCUUUUCGCUUUCAUCAAGCUCUGGAUCAUAAUCGGGGUCUCCAUCGACAUCAUUUGAGUCGGAGGAACUCGUGGAAUCUUCUUCGCCUCCAUCCUCAGCCGCCUCGUCAACGCCUCCAUCCUCAGCCGCCUCGUCAACGCCUCCAUCCUCGUCCACCUCGUCAACGUCUCCAUCCUCGUCCGCCUCGUCAACAACAUCCUCGUCGGCGCCCCCGUCGUCUUCUGCGGGACGAAUCAGAUAGUGUACGACACAGAACUGGUUGUCACCGCGGUGGUGAUUCCGUCGGCAAAACAAAUCGCCUUCUGGCCUCUCCAUAGUCGCUUCCGUACGAGUGACCUGAGCCCCUUGUACAGGUGGUCCUGAUCUGCAGUUCUUUCUUCUUGUCUCUUCCACGUCGUCCCACCCAAAGCGAUCUCUGAAGCGACGGGCGCGGUAGAGAAAUAUGCCCUCCUCUAGCGGUUCUGGCCCCAACGCUAUAAGGCUCUUAGGGAGGGGGAUAGUUGCAUGCCUGUCGUAGAUCGCCACAAGAUCGUCUUGAUUUAGCCAAUCGAGCGUGGAUCUCUGGAAAACUUCUUCGAUGCCGUCGUCAAAGUUCGUCCUGAAGAUUCGUCGCCGCCAUGAUCUUUCGGAGCGGGAGACUGAAACUUUCGAUUAGGUUACAAUUGAUUUUGGUUCCGGUUCGAUUUUACGAGUGUUUCACCGUCUUUUAUUCACUGAAAACCAGAUUAGGCUACAAAUUGAUUUUGGUUUCGGUUCGACUUUACUAAACCGGAAAUCAUAUAAUGAAUAACCGAGUGAAACAGAGAAGAGGCGCACCUCGUACGCCGCCAUUUUAAAAAAAAAAUUAAUCACUUAUAUCUUCAACAAAUUCUCAAUACCCUUCUAUAUUAUUAAAGUAUCGGCAAUUACGAAAUUGGCCUCAGAAUUCUCAAUUACAUUUUUCACUGUGUUUAAAAUGGCGAUCGCCUUUUGCGCGAGGCACACUCAGGCGAUGGCUCUGUCGCCAUGUACCUCCUAGGCGAGGGUGGGUUCCAUAAUUGCAUAUACUUUAAUAAAAUAGAAGGGUAUUGAGAAUUUGUAGAGUAUAUAAUUGAUUUAAAAUUUUUUUUAAAGGGCGUAAGGUGAUGCCUCUUCUUCGUUUCGCUCGGUUAUUCAUUAUAUGAUUUCCGAUUUAGCAAAGUCGAACCGGAACCAAAAUCAAUUUGUAGCCUAAUCUGGUUUUCGGUGAAUAAAAGACGGUGAAACACUUGUAAAAUCGAACCGGAACAAAAAUCAAUUGUAACCUAAUCAAAAGUUUCAGUCUCCCGCUCCGAAAGAUCAUGGCGGCGACGAAUCUUCAGGACGAAAACUUUGAUGAUGACAUCGAAGAAGUUUUCCAGAGAUCCACGCUCGAUUGGCUAAAUCAAGACGAUCUUGUGGCGAUCUACGACAGACAUGCGACUAUCCCCCUCCCCGAGAGCCUUAUAACGUUGGGGCCAGAACCGCUGGAGGAGGGCAUCUUUCUCUACUUCGCCCGUCGCAUCAGAGAUCGCUUUGGGUGGGACGACGUGGAAGAGACAAGAAGAAAGAACUGCAGAUCAGGACCACCUGUACAAGGGGCUCAGGUCACUCGUACGGAAGCGACUAUGGAGAGGCCAGAAGGCGAUUUGUUUUGCCGACGGAAUCACCACCGCGGUGACAACCAGUUCUGUGUCGUGCACUAUCUGAUUCGUCCGCAGAAGACGAUGGUGGCGCCGACGAGGAUGUUGUUGAUGAGGAUGGAGACGUUGACGAGGCGGACGAGGAUGGAGGCGUUGACGAGGCGGUUGUGGAUGGAGGCGAAGAAGGUUCCUCCGACUCCGAUGAUGUCGAUGGAGACCCCGAUUAUGAUCCGGAGCUUAAUGAAAGCGAAAAGGGCAAAUCUUUAUUGUCACUUUGUAUCAAUUUGUUAGAUCUAUAUUCUUAUUUCUUGAAAAUUAUGUGUCUUUUAGUGAACCAUGGCAGCUCGGAUGUUCAUCUUGAACAGCUCGACCAUUCAAUUCAUUCUCUCGUCUACUUUGUCCUGAUGUGUAUAGGUUCUGCUGCGUUUGUGUGACUUUCUUAUCUUAAGUUUUGUAUCGUUUGAUUGUUCAAGCGAGGCUCUUGCGCGUGGUCUAGUGUCCAAGGGGAAUGCUUCUGGUGUGGUUCUGUUAAUUGAUGAAAAAUAUGUGUUUAAAAUGGCGAGACGUGCCGAGCCUCGCGCCAUAGCGCAAUAUGGCGCUCGCCUUGAAGAACAUUUUAGUUAUGUUUUGUUUUGUAUUGGAGAAGAAACGUAGAAUUAUGCAAUGAUUGAUGCACUAAAUUUAAAUAAGUUGCAAGCUUUAUUAUUUGAAGAUAGUUAAACCAAAACAAAAUUAUUCAAAAAGAAAACCCAAAAACAAAGUCUCAAAUGUAGAAACCAAAAGAUAAUAUCAUAAUAAAACUGUGAUCAAAGUAAAAAAAACCAUACUGAUCAUAAGUUAUGAUCCAUAACUAGACUGUGAUCACUGACAAAAAAUGAGACAGAAUGAAGACAAAAAAGAGAAAAAAAAAAAAAGUGCAGAGAGUAAAAGACAAACCAUGUGUGUUAACUCUGACCAAAGCAACCGCAGUACGUUCUAAUCUGUGACAAAGGAGCACAUGAAUCUAUAAGAAGAAUAAGCAUAAACGAGAUUGGAAAGAGUAAAGACUAGAGAGUUCUAACCUUAAGCAAAAAACCUUGAGAUUUAUGUUUAUGUUUUACGUAACUUCUCUUUUAUAAAGCUAGGGUUCUCAUUGUUAUUUAGGCGUUUAAGUUUCCCCGACGGUUAAGUUUUUUUUAAGUCCUAGGUUUAAUUAUUAAUUAAGGCUUGGUUUCAUACCUGGUUUAGAUACGGUUUACAAUAAUCUCGCCUUACGCUCGACUUUUAACAUGGUGCGCGCCUUACGGAACCCACCCUCGCCUAGGAGGUACAUGGCGACAGAGCCAUCCGCACUCAGGCGAUCGCCAUUUUAAACACAGUGAAAAAUGUAAUCUUUUCUCGUCUCUGUCUGUGUGUUUUAUGUUUUAGAGAGAUUAUGAUGAUGAUGAUGUUGUUGUUUUGAUUCUUGCAGUUGUUACUCUUUGUAAGAGAUUCAAAGACAGAGUUUUGGAGCUUAAGGAUCCGAUAAGAGGGGUGGCGCCACUGGUGUCAGCUGUUCGCAAGGUUCAGGUCUCUGCUAAUUGUUCGACUGUAUUGCAUCCGGAUUGUCUUCAGCUAUGUCUCCAGGCCAAGUGCUACAAAGCUGGUUAUGAGUGAGCCUCUUUUCCUCUUUGCUAUAUCAGUUUGAUUGUUUCAGUCGAUGAUUAUGUCACAGCAUUAGUCCACCCGUUUGAUUCUCGUCCUUGAUCCCUAUGUUAAUAUAUCAAAAGCAACUUUCUUAUAAUAUUCUCUGCACUUUUGACAGUGGAAUGAAUGGCAUUGGACUGAAGAGAUUCCAGAAGACAUCGGAGCUUCAUUACAAUGUAAGGCAUUCUAUUUUACCUUUUUCACAUGUUGCUAGCCUUCAUGGACUUUUACAAUCGGAGCUUCAUUACAAUGAUACUCCAUACCUGUACAAGCUUAUGACUUUAUGAUUCUCCUUUCUCAGCCUUACUACGAAGUGGGUAAUCGUUAUAACGAUGGGAAGAUCAGUGAACUAGAGGCAGUGGUUGUGGCCCAGAGCUCAGAUCUUGAACAGGUAAAUCUCCCCUAGACACGAACUGUAAUAUCUCACUGGUAUUAAUCUUCAUUCAUCCUAUAACACGCACUGAUUAAUCUUCAUCAUCCUAUUUCUCAGGAUAAGGACACUGGAUUAGUGAAGCAAGCAGUGUCAUCCCUUUACAAGCGCAACAUACUGGGAUUGACUCACAAGUACUUGACCUUGUCGCUUCAAGAUAUUGUCAACAUGAUGGUCCAAACUGCUAAUGCUAAGGAGGCGGAAACGCAUGUGAUUCAGAUGGUAGUGUAUUCUGUGUGUCCCACACUUUAUUUUUGGAAGCUAGCUAUUUAACUAGAAGUGCUGUUAUAUGCAGAUACAGGAUGGUCAGAUACAUGCUCUUAUCAACCAGAAAGAUGGAAUGGUGAGAUUGUUGGAGGACCCUGAGCAGUACAAAACCAGUGAGAUGAUAGAGGUCAUGGUUUCUGUCAUCCAAAGGUAUGUCUAUGAACCAAAUUCGUUGCUGACUUUUUCGUUACUUCGAUUCUUCUUUGUUUCCGAGUCCCCGUAAUAAGCUGCAUUUGGAAUGUCAAAUUGAUAGAGAAUUGGAUUAUUUAGCCAGGGUAGAGUGUUAGAGUUAAACACAGCUCUGUGUGUGUUUAUGUGAUGUUUCAGGACAAUUGGGCUGUCGAAGAAUCUGCUAGCCAUGGAUGAGAGUUUGUCAUGUGAUCCUUUAUACUUGGGAAAGGUAACGUAGUGCCAUGUUUCAUAUAGACUGUUCUGUUCUCGCCUUUGUUUGAGAACUGUCAACAAACUAGUGAAUAAACGAGACGAGGACUCGUCAGUGGGGUUAGGAGAAGUCUUCAUGCUGAGCUUGAACCGGAUGGAGACGACUCGAAGAAAACGGUCAAGUGACGACUCUUCGGUCGAGUGAGGACUCGUCGGUCAAGUGAGGACUCGUCGGUCGAAGUACGGUCGAGUGACGAGAGAAAGAUUUGCGCUUGAAUGAACGAGACGAGGACUCGAAGAGAAUAAGACGAGGACUCGAAGAGAAUAAGAAAAAGGUGUUUAAUGAUCAAGCUGGACCCAGUGAAGGGUUGCCUACGUACCUUGAAAGGGGAUCAAGCCAAUCGUAGUUCUACAACAAAGGAUCACAAGUGCUUAGGUGAAAGCAUGUGGAAAGGUGUUUCUCUCUCUAGAAGUAGAGAGAGAUGGAUGAGAGACCAAAAGAGAGUCCAAGAUAGCCCUCUCAAAGGAGGUUGACUCCUUAUUUAUAGAAAGGAGAGGUCUAGGGUUUCCUAGUGACCCCCAUUUUAAAUGGGCUGAGCCCAUUAUCUUAUAAGCCUUGUUGGGGACAAAGUCCAUGUCCAACAGCCUUGAACCUUAGUUCGCAGACUAAAACCUUUGAAAACUUUUUUUAUCUCAGGUUGGAAGGGAAAGUCAAAGGUACGACUUCGGAGACGAUUUUGAUACUGCCCCUCAGAAGUUCUCCAUGUAAACAGCGAAAUAACCUGAAGGAGAGCAAAACUUGUCUCAAACUCUUGUUGCGAGAAUCUUCUUUUUUGCUGUUCUUUGUUCUUUUAUGAACUUUCAUAUAUUCGUUUGUUAUCGGUUUAGAUAGUCCUAAACCGAUAUUACAUUUGUACAGAAAACAUAACCCAACAUUCUUUUGUACCGAACCAAUAUAACCGAAAUUCAUAGAAAAUUAAUAUUUUUAGUUAUAUUGACUGGCGGUCUCGACCAAACAAAGAAGUUAUAUUGACUGCGGUCACAUUUAAUUUUACUAAUGAGUUAAGUGCGAAAGAUUUAGUUCAUUGGGUUUUGCUUAAUUUCUGCGACUUAUUGGCCCAGACGGUUCAGAUCAAAUCGAUGUGUGUGAAAUCUUUCACUGCGACUGUUUAUUGUUAUGCAUCCCCAAAGGUCACUCCAGGCUCGUGGUUUGGAACCCGUAUUGGGGGCAAACCAGGUGGAUCGAGCACACACAUAAUUGCCACUUAGAGGACCAGUAUAGGUGUUCUUAUACGUAUGCUCUCGGUUACGACCGUAACAGUAAGUCCCACAAAGUCUUGAGAUUUAUUGAUUUUCUCUCUCAUUUUGUCGAGUUCAAAAUCUACGACUUCAGUUCUGAUUCAUGGAGCCUAUCUUUAAAGGGAAACACCUACUGGUUUGCUUCAGAAAGACAAUCUAUCAAUGGUUUCUUAGUCUGUUUCGAUUUCACAAGAGAGACAUUCGGGCCGCCUUUGUCUCUACCGUGUGAGGCUUAUUUUCAAGAUACCGUGAGUCUAUCUAGUGUUAGAGAAGAUCAGCUUGUGGUUUUAUUCCAGACCUGGGAUAUAUUGACGUUUGAGAUCUGGAUUUCCACUAAGAUUGGUGAUGACCCUAACGCCGUGUCCUGGAACAACAAGUUUUUCUUAUCGGCCAAUAUCAAACAACUCAUUCACCCUCAGUGGCAGUUUCCUGCAUCUGCGAGUUUCUUCAUUGACGAGGAGAAGAAAGUCGCCGUGGUUUUUGAUAAAGACACAGAUAUACGAAACCCCACUCGCGAAGUAGCUUACAUCAUUGGAGUAGAUGGAUCCUUGAAAGAAGCAGCAGAUGUCAGAGAAUGUGCAGACCGUUAUUGUGAUGCAUUUCUUUGCUCAUAUGUUCCAAGCUUAGUGCAACUUAAUUAAUUAGCUCCCCCACCUAUUUAUUUUACUUGUUUUGUUUCCUUCCUCAUCGAAAGACUUGUGUACUCAAUAAUACUCAUAUCUAUUUUUAAGUUCUUUUGUUUUUCAUCCUUGUUUAUGUUUUUUGCCCUAUUUUGACUUCCGUUUUCACAUCAUCUUCCUUUAGACUCAUUUCUUACCUCUGCAGGUUUGUAUGAGUGCCCUCUCUUUGUCUAAUGUUUUCAUCAUUCUAAAGGAGUAAGAAUGGUGUUUGAUGUUUUGUUGGACAAGGAAACCUUAACGGGAGACGAUUUCGAGCAAUCAUGCUGAAUACAGUGACAAGCCGUUGAAUGCCGAUGAUAGAGUUCGAGUCAAAGAUUUAAUUAGUGUGUAAUACAAAAAAAAAAAAUAAUACUUAGUGUUGGUAUUACAAACUCAAACUAGACUUCACCUAUUAAAGUUUCAAAACCGGCCAAAAAUGUCCUUGACUGCUUGGUAAGUUCCGCUUGUUUUUCAUCCUUGUUUAUGUUUUCUUUGCCGGUUUUCACAUCAUCUUCCUUAGACCAAAACUGUCCUCUCAUUUCUUACCUCUGCAGGUUUGUGUGAGUGCCUCUCUUUGGCUAAUGUUUUAUCACUCUAAAGGAGUAAGAUUGGUGUUUGCAGAGCUGUGCGAGCAUUUACGGCUGUCCAAGGCGAAUUUUUUUUAAAAUAAAAGUUUAUACAUUAAAAAUAAUAAGCACUAUGUUUCCAAAUGAUAUAAAUUUAUAUGUUUUAAUAUGUAUUAAGAAAACAUAUUAAAUAUUAUUUAUAAAUGUAAUAUUUCUUGUGUUUACCAAUUACCGAUAACUUUAUAUUAUUAGGAUUUUCAGAAUCAUUAUUAAGUUUUUUCAAUUUUGUAAUUCAUCAUUAUUAACUAAUAAAACAUGCCUAGAAAAUGUAUGUAUCUUUUUGAAAAUUUUUUGUUAUAAAACAUUAAUUAUCUUUUAAGUAAUACAUAAUGUUCAGAAAAUAAUAUCAAUACAAACUACUAUAGAAUAAAAAUAUAUAAGAAAUAAACUAACAAACGAUAUUUUAUCUAAUAUUUACGAAAUUGUUAAGAUUUUAUCCUUAAAUAUGAUAUUUUAGAUAAAAAUAAUUAAGUCACUUAAAUGUUUCAACAAAAAUAAAAUUUUAUAAUAAAAUAUUUUAGAAAAUACACCUAAAACUAUUAUUGUUAACCACUCUAACUACUCUUAUUCAUUAGUAAUUAACAAUUAUUUACAUAUUUGUUAAUUAUGUAACCCAUGUUUUCAUCAUAAUCCAUGGUUUUCUCUAUAACCUAAAUACCACUGUGAUUUCAUUGUAUAAUAUUUGUUUUUUUAUUAUUAUAUUAUGCCAUUAAUGUUUACAUAAGAUGAUGGAUGUCCUUGAAUUUUUUUAAAAGUUUGAUGCCCUAAGAGCAUGUUUAUCGCUGACUCUGAACUAAGUAUCUUAGAGCAUGUUCAUUGAAAUAACCCCUAAGUGGGCUUUUAACCAAUAUUUUAGUAUUAAAAGUAAGUCAAGAGUUUAUGCUAAGAACCACAUAAUUUUUAGUCCUCCAAUGCUAGGUUCUUAAGUUAAAAGUUCUUAAAAAAAAUUUAAAAACAUUUUUUAAGCUAAUACAACUAUGUUAAAGGUUCAUUGUCUCCUGACUUUCUCAAUUGCAUAACAAGAAAACAAAUACAACUAUGUUCAUUGUCUUGUGACUCUCUCAAUUGCAUAACAAGAGCAACAUAAAACAAAGAUCAUUUAAGCAUUACAAGUUUUUGCCAUACCGAGAACAAGAUCAACAACUUACCUAUCAAGUGAUGAAGAAACAAACCAGCUGCAACAUCACGUUCAAGCUCUCCACUCCCAUCUUCUGUAGCAGCCGCAACUUCAAACCUGUAUAUGAUAGACACAGAGUUGAAUUUGAAAUCAAACACGAUAGACACAAUUUGAACUUGAAAUCAAACACGAUAGACACAAACAUGAAUUUUAAUACUUCUGAAAAAGAAAGAAUCCAUUACAUGAUCCAUUUAAGAAACACAAAAGAGGCAACAAGAAGUAUACAAGAAUCUACAAACUCACCAUAUUUCAUUGCCAGACACGGGUCUUGCUCAUCCAUGACCCUGAUCAGUUUUGCAGGAUUUCCAGCAACCACACUUCAAGAAUCCCAAAAAAGGCUGUACAUAGUUACUAACCCACAAACAUUGAAGAUUUUUUUAGACUCACUUUCUUUUAUACCUAUGCGGAGGAACGUCCUUUAACACAAGUGAACCUGCAGCUACCAUUGCCCCAGCACCUAUGCUUAUGUUUCCAAGUACAGUCACACAGGCUCCAAGCAAUGCACCUUCCCCUAUUUUUGGAUGACGGUCGCCGGUUUCCUUCCAUGUUCCCCUAUGACAGGGAACAAGAAACACCAACUCACAUCUGCUUCAAGGAGAGCUCUUCUGAUAUCCUUCAUUGGCUCAGCAAUAUUCUCCUUCGUCAUGACAUCUGCAAGUUCAAAUAAACAUAACUAAAUUUUAACCUUACUCAUCCUCUCUGCAUCUGUUAGUGCUAAUAUUUAAUAUUGCACUGCCUAGGAGUAUAAAUUGAACGGUUUCUCACUUCUUUGUCUAAGAUACAAGUUUCUGUUUUAUGGGUCAAGAGCCAAAACUACCAAAAGCUAAUAGCUUUAGAGAUUUUUUUUUAACUAAUUAUGAUUCAUGUGUUCCAUAUGAUUCUGUAUACAAUUCACCACUCAAUUCAAAUACAAUUGGGACCAAUCGAAGCUAAAAGGUAGAUAAGCAAACAAGAGAUUUAGCGGAUAAUUUUAGAGGCAAAACUAUAUGAAAAGUGUGCCUCCACGUUUAUACACUGCGAUUCAAUCUAUGCCUCGAUGACUAGCAUUUAUUUUCGUUAUUCUUAAAAACAAGCUAAAGGUGAGUGAGGCAGUAUAACAAAAACGGUUCCUUUCCUCCCAAAAGAACAAACAAAACAAGAUACAUAAAUGUAAAAUAGAAGCUGACGAUGAGAUGAGCUUUAGAGAUUUACACGAACCUUCUCCUUUGAGUUUGGUCCAAGCAGCAUCGAGUCCACUCGUCAAUUGACAAAACAUCUCCGCCCUCACUUCAGGAGGACUCCUUGUGUAUCUUCCAUGGCCAAUUGUCUUCGAUUUCACCCAACUCCAUAACGAGAUUUCUUCUUCGACGAAAGACAACGACGAGAUUCUUUGACGCGAGCACCGAUUGAAAGAUCGAGGAAAGCACCAACUUCAUCUCGUUCGUCGACUUCGACUUUUCUUUUUCUCUCAUUACCACAAAACCAAUACCCUAGUUUAACAAGAGCCGGUUCUUCCAUGCACUAUAGUGUAUUUAGGUAUAUACACAUUUUAGUUGUUCCCAGUAAUUUUUUAAGUUGCAAUUACUAUGUUUUCCUAUUGCUUAAAUUAAAGAGAAACAGACAAAAAUAAUACUAAAUCAAGUUUUUGUUCUCAAACUAGCACUCAAGAUCUAAAAUCACAAAAAUAGCACUCAAAAACUAAAAUGAUCAAAAUAGCACAUUUCUAAGUUUAUCAUUUGAAAAUUUUAAUUUUUUUAUUUUUCAAAAUUUGAAAUCUUAUCCCCAAAACCUCAUUUCUAAACCCUAAACCCUAAACUUUAAACCCUAAACCCUAAACCCUAAAAUCUAAACCCUAAACUCUAAACCCUAAACCCUAAACCCUAAACCCUAAAUCCUAAAUCCUAAACCCUAAAUCCUAAAUCCUAAACUCCACCCUUUAACUCUAAACCCUAAGUUUGUGACUUUUGAUAAAACAUUAAGUGCUAUUUUUGUGACUUUUGACCUUGAGUGCUAGUCUGGGAACAAAAACUUGAUUUAGUACUAUUUUUGUCUUUUUCUCAUUUAUAUAUUUUACAUGUAAUUUUAAAUUAAUUUUUAACUUCAUUGUUAUAUGGCUAACAUAUUUAACUAUAUAUAAAAAAUAUUUAUCUUGCGUAUCUAAUAUUUUAUAACAAUUUAUUUUUUGGUUUAGUCUUAUAAAUUCAGUAUUCAACGGCUAAUAUAUAUAUAAUGUUUAUGUAUUUAAAAAUUAACCGCUAAAAUUUAUUAUUACACGACUAACAUAUUUAAUAACAUGUAACAAUUUAUUUAUUCAGUAUAUCUACUAAUUUAUAAUAGUUUAUUUUCGGUAUAGAUUUGUAAAUUCAUUGUUAGACGGCUAAUAUAUGUAUAAUAUUGUAUACCAAUUAAUUUUUCCAUGAUAUCAUAUCUGGAAUUAAUUCUAAUAUUUAUUUCAAUUUUAUGGACAUGUUUAUCAAAUACUCUUAAUAUGAGUUCUACCUCGCGGAGUUCAACUUUUUUGUUCCUCUUUUGUUCGAAGAUUCUUUGGGUCACUCGUUUAAGACGAUCAAUACGACUCAGUCUCAGAACUAGUUUGCGCACAAACCGAGCAAAGAUCCCGUGGCGUUUGUCCUGAAGAAAACUGUUUUUGUAUUACAUGAAAGUAAUUUCAGAAUUUAGUGAAUGUGUGUGUGUGUGUGUGAUCAACUGAUUAUAUAAACCAGUGAUUAUGUAGAUCAUUAUCUGGAACACAUCUUCUUCAAUUUUUUAGAUUCAUCAGAAAAAAAAAGAAAAAAAAACAGAGGAAGAAGAUGGGAAAGAAGGUGGGGGAAAAAGAAAACGAUAAUGAAAGAGAAAAUGAAAAUUUUAUUUACUUUUAGAAAUUGUACAAUUUUUACGGGAGGGUUCUAAAAGUAAUUGCACAUAUUAUUUAUCUACUGUAGUUCCUAAUUGAGUCUUAAUUAAGAGUCGUUCCUUAGAUAAUUAGCUAUUUUUUUUUAAUUCAUAAUUAUCCUAAGAACAUGAUUAUUGGGAGUUCUUAGAAUGAGAUUCUUACUGAAAUAUAAGAACCCGUCUCUUAACUUUUAACUAAAAAAAUUAAGAAACGGCUCUUAAAACUCUUAUUUAAGAACUAGUUCUUAUCUUUUUCAAUUAAAAGUUAAGAAACGAGUUCUUAUAUUACGAUAAUAAUCUCACCCUAAGAACCAUGCAAUAAUCAUGCUCUUGAACCAUACUUAAGAUACCCAAUAAACAUGCUCUUAAGCUAAUUACGAUUAAAAAAGAAGGAAAAAAAAAGGAAAAACACGAGAGGUGUCUCUUAAUUAAGAGAGCCAAGCUAUGUCUCUUAGGUGUGUUGUUGCUCCCCUCUCGUUUCUUCCUCUCCUGAUUGGUGUCUCUCUUGGACGAAAGAGCCACGUAUCUUGACGAGGAAGAAAAACGGCGUCUAUUCGAUCGUCUUUCAAAUUCAUCUCCGCAGAAUCCUUAACUCUUCGCAACGAUUCCAUUUCCAGAUCAGGUAGGGUUUCUGGUAAAUUUUGUAUUUUGAUCGAACAGCGUAGAUUUGUUUAAUUUAACUACUUGUUUUUGAUAAUCAACCAACGGAGCUUACUCACUACUUGUUUUCAAUUCCUGUGAUAGAUCUUGAAAGUUUAGAGCUUUAAAGCCAAUUUGCUGAUCGCUUUGUCCUGUAAACAGUUUCUGGAAAUGAGAAACAUUUACAUUUGUAAAAGCUAAGAUAACUCUCGAGGGUUUAGAGCUUUGUAGACAAUCAUAUUUUGAUAUGAUUUUCUCUGAUUAAACUUAUGUCUUUGAUUUUGGUGAUGGAUUUAGGGAGAAAGCCACUUGCUAGAUUCCCUUCCGGCGAUUGGGUGAUCUCAGAGAUGCCUGUUACACAGCAAGAUCUGAAGCUCGCCGUAUCAAAGGUGUGGUGUCUUUGAUACUGGUUAUAGUGUCACUGCUUGAUUGGAAUGUUUCUGAUGAAGGUUUUCGAUAUAGGUUGGUGACUUUUCGGAUGAUAACCGAUCAAAGAUUAACAGAUCUUUGCAUCGUAUAAGCGCUAUACGUAACCGGAAACUCCAAAUAAUUGGUUUAACGUGUUGAGUGGGACGAGUUGUAUCGGGAAGUGCGGAGAUCAUAAGAGACUUGAUAGAAGGAGGAGGAUCCAUCUUGGUCAUAGGAUCUCCUGGAGUUGGCAAAACAACUUUAAUCAGGUACAUUGAUGUUACAUAUUAUAUAACAAAGUUGUGAUGUUACAUGUGAUAAGAUUAGUUAGUUUUGUAUAGAGAAAUCGCACGGAUGUUAGCUGAUGAGCACAGGAAACGCGUAGUGAUUGUUGACACGUCAAACGAGAUUGGUGGUGAUGGUGAUGUUCCUCACUCUGGUAUCGGCCGUGCCAGGCGGAUGCAAAUUCCAAAUGUGAAUCUACAGCACGAUGUAAGUGUAUGAAAGCUUAGCCUUGAAGUAAAAACGUUUUUGUAACGUUUAAAAAACCUCACACACUAAGAAUGGGUCCUGGAUGUGGAAGAAGUUGCUGAAACUAAGACCAUUGGCAAAGCAGAUGAUAAGAAUGGAUGUUAAUAGUGGCUCCAACACUUCUUUCUGGUUUGAUAAUUGGUCGCCGCUGGGGAGUCUAAUUGAGCUAACAGGGGAACUAGGUACAAUGGAUCUGGGCAUUCCUCUAAAUAGUACGGUGGAAAGGGCUAUACAGCUAUACCGGCCAAAGAGACAUAGAGUAUCCAUUCUUCAGUUGAUUGAUAAAGAGAUUGGGGUGUUGAAGAACAGAGGAUUGAAUCAGCAGGAUGAUAUAUGUCUUUGGAAGAGAGAAAAUGGGGCUUUUAAAGAAGGCUUCUCCACGGCGCAAACUUGGAACAUUACUAGAGCUCAGUCACCGAGUGUCUCUUGGUUCAAAGGAGUAUGGUUUCCUGGUGCUACUCCAAAGUUUUCUUUCCUCAUAUGGAUUGCAAUACAUAAUAGACUAUCAACAGGAGACAGGAUUUUAAGAUGGAAUCCUCAGGCUGUAUCUACAUGCUGGUUGUGUAAAACAGCACCUGAAACGAGGGAUCAUUUGUUUUUUGAGUGUGUUUAUUCACAAGAAGUUUGGUUGAAGACUAUCAAGAACCUAGCAGGUAACAGAAUUAGUAGUGAUUGGUCUAGUGUGGUCCAAGUGGUGGUGAAUGGAUUCCAUGGUAGGAUUGUGACUUUUCUUCUUCGCUAUUGUUUUCAAGCAGUCGCAUAUGCAUUAUGGCAUGAACGAAACGUGAGAAGGGUGAGUGAACCUUCUUUGCCUGCUCGUUGUCUAGUUGCUCGACUGGAUAAGUUGGUCAGGAACAGGAUCACGUCUUUGAGGAAGAAGAAAGGAGAAAAAUAUGAGAAGGCAAUGGAGGUUUGGUUUAGUAGAAACUAAUGGAGAUUUGAACAUUGUAUAGAAACUUGUAGAUUUUAUGUUUUAUGAUUGAGGCAGUGAAAAAUCUGUAACAAGGUUCUUUUGAUUGAAAUAAAUUUAAAAUUCUUUCAAAAAAAAAAAAAAAAAACCUCACACAGGUUAUGAUUGAGGCGGUUGAGAAUCAUAUGCCUGAGACCAUCAUCAUUGAUGAGAGAGGAGUCCAGCUUGUGACUCCCAUUCCUUCAGAGACGAUGUUCCUCAUAAGCUAGUGACUCCCAUUCCUUUGGAGAAUCUUAAAGAGGAGCCUGCACCAUUGCUCAACAUAGAUUUUGCAAGUGAAGUGUUGUCUGACGACGAAAGAUGAAGACUUUCUUCCCACUCCGUAUUUGAAAGCCGGCAGUAACAUAUCAAAGAGCCAAAGAAGUUCACAUGUUCAUGUUUAUACUCGCAAUGUAAAUAGUCUAAUUUUUUUUUAAGAACCCUUAACUUAAGAAACUAUCAUUGGAUGACUAAAAUUAGGUGUUUCUUAACAUAAACUCUUAAUUUUAAUACUAAAAUAUUGAUUAAAAACCCACUUAGGGGUUACCCCAAUAAACAUGCUCUAAGCAAAUAUUUAUUUUUUUACCACUGAAGCACGGCCCUGGGUGUUUGUGGCUUCACUAUUUCAUAGACAUACCUAAUUUUUGUGCUACACAUCUCUUACACAAUCUAAUAUGAUGUUACUCUCCAUGUGUUUAAAUAAAAGACAUUAGACCACUUACAUUGGAGACUCUAAUAAGAGGUUCUAAAAAAAAAAACCAAAAAAUAAAUAAAUGAAAAAUGAGUUAAAAAGAGAGAACCGGUGCCUAAAUAUAACAUUUUUAGAACUGGUAAAGACUAGAGAUGGCAAUUGGGUCUUCCUGUCCCGUCCCGUCCCGCCCCGCCGCGGUCUUCAGUUCAAAUGGGUCUCAGCGGGACAGGCCCGCGCGGGAUGCGGUCUUGUCGAGGGCUGACCAAUCCCGCCCCGCAUAGUACAUGGGCUUUGCGGGUCGGCCCGCGGGACAUCGGUUCAUUAUACCUGCAUAAAUAAAACAACAUGAUCAGACAUAACUCACUUGCGUCUGGACACAGAAACAAACAUCAAAGUUUAUCAGACUGAGCAAUACGUGUUCACUAGAAUCACUACCUAUCAAACUAAGCAAUAACAAUUCAAGUUCUAUUAAACUAACCUCAUAUCUAAGCUCUUAAAAAUAAAACGUUUUUCUUACUUGUGGUUUCGUUUUAGUGAUCUUAAGCAUGCUCUCAUCUCCUAUGCUUUUGAAGCUGGGCUUGGAGACGGCAGUAUUGUUCAAAGAGUCCAUGGGAGCAGCUGUAGAGAAGAAAGAUAAGAGUAAAUGCAUUAUUAAUAGAUUUUUUGAACAUGGAUGCUGGAUAAUUAGGUACCUGUUGAGGAAGUGUGUUCUGUACUAAAACAAACAGAGCUUUGGAUAUAGUUCGGUGUAGUCUAUUGCUUAGCAUGUGAAUGAAAUGUCCAACAGUCAUGUCUCGUGGGACCAAGAACCUGCACAGGUCAAAACGUGAUUCAUUCAACUAGUGUAUUGAUAUAUAUUCACAUUUUGUUUAUGUUCUUCCCUCAGAAAAAGAAACACAAAUGAUUUCGUGCAAACUUACAAAGGAAUUCUUAACUAUAGCUUAUGACUACAAAGGACCUCAAAUGGUUUCGUGAACCACAAGUCACCUGCAACAAGAAGAGACCAAGAUAGAUUAGACCAUAACAUAAGUCAGACUCUUGAUACCAACAUGUUCAAGUUCUAACAGACUAACGAUUAGAUCAAAAUGAUAUCUUGAAUCUGCACAAAUUUCAUCAGUCUUCAAGGUUCUGCUGUGAAGCUGGUACUCCCCUGUACCAAACAAACCACUUUGGUGAAGAAUUGUGACUUAGAACUCCGCCACUUAGAGCCCACAACCUGAUGGAGCUCUGUUCUCGGUGAGAAAAGUGUAGCGGGCCUCAAUGUUUGCCCGCAUCCCGCUUCGGCCCGUCCCGCUUCGGCCCAGUACCGCCGCGGUCCUGUCCCGCCAGACCCGCAACUAAACGGGCCACAAUAUCUUUGCCCAAUCCCGCCCCGCAAUGGGCCUUUUCGGGUCAGGCCCGCGGGCAAGCCCUUGAACUGCCAUCUCUAGUAAAGACCCUAUACAUGUUUCUUUGUUAUUGGCUAAUGCCUUCUCUCUCUUCCUCUUCCUCUUCCUCUUCCUCUUAGUCGAUGUUUUUUUUUGGUUUGAGAAAGAGAUCUUCGUCGAUUUUGAUCGAGAAAUGAUCUCUUCUCCUUCUCUCUCCCUCACCGUCUCGUCUCAUCUCUCUCUAUCGUCCACCGGAAUCUACCUCUCUGUUGCCUUCACUCUCCGCUUUCACCCGGACCCGACCCGAUAGAAUCCGAGUAUCCACCGCCGAAGUGGCGGAGGAGGUAGAAGACGGUCCUGUCGAGCUUCCUCCGUCGGCCAUAUCUCCGUUCUCGUCAACUAACUCAAUAUUCGCCACUUCCGAUGACCUCACUCCUCUCCAGCUAGCCACCAGCGUAAUGCUCACCAGCGCCAUCACCACCUUCCUCUUCCGAUCGAUUCGACGGCGCGCUAAACACUCCACAGAGAUGUUACAGUUAACUUCCGAUCGAUUCGACGGCGAGCUAAACACUCCAAAGAGAUGUUAAAGUUUUCAUCUUUCCUCUCGUUCUCAGUGAAUCCGAAUUGAAAGUUUUCGACUUGGUGUGAGAAUUGCAGACGUUUAGAUCGUCUGGAGUGAAGAAGUCGUUGAAAGAUGAAGCGGUGGAGAAACUGAAAGCAAUGGGGGUCGGCUCCGAUUGAAGAAGGUGGUGGUAAGUCGACGACACCAUCGGCGGCUCAGGCGUUUCUUGGUGCAGUUUCGGCAUGUGUCAUUGCUGUCAUUCUCUAUAAGUUCACUACUACCAUUGAAGCAGGACUCAAUCGUCAGACUAUUUCUGAUAAUUUCUCGGUAUCGUUCCUUCUUUUUUCUCUUGGUUCAUUCUCAUUGCUUGUGUCAAAGUUCAUGUUUAUGUCCGUCUUUGCUUUGCUUUGGUUGUUGGGGUUUAGCAAGUAAGGUUGACUUGUGAUCCAAGUAUUAUCAUUGUCUCUGUAUUAGUAAAUGCACAUAACUGAGAAGAGGUUAAAAAAAAAAGAAGUUGAUAAAGUAUCAUCAUGGUCUCUUUAUCUGUAAACGCCCACUCUUGAGAGAGAUAAUAGUAUGGAAUAAAGGCUCCAUAGGCCCAUGAUUUCUGAAUUCAGUGUGCAGCUAGCUAUAUUCAUUAUGUGAAGGGCCCUCUGUUUAUGAUCAUUGCUUGUGUACGUACAUGGAAGGUGAAUGCAUUAAGAGUCUGAGUUUCUGAGUUUCUGAGGAAAGUUUCUGAGUUUUAUCAAACUCUGUGUGAUUCUUCUCGGAAGGUGAAUGCAUUAAGAGUCUUUCUUUCUUUGUUUUAUUUACUCCCUAGGAUUAGAUUCUGAACCUUGAAAAUGGUAAUGCAGAUAAUCGAUGCAGGAGAAACUAUGGAGGAAGUAGAGAAGAAGAUUCAACAAGUGGUGUUGGAUAAAGUUAAAGAGUGUGUUCAAGGAAAGUCUCUUUCUCUCCUCUGGUCAUCUUUUAUGAUUUUUAACCAAUCCACUCUUGUAGAAUGUUUGUGUUAUGGUGAUUAUACCAAGUUUGUGAUUUUCAAAGAACUAUUAUAUCAACUUAACAAGUAUUUUGCAAAAUCUAAUCAUUCAACUUCUUUAAAAAAAAUAAAAAAAAAUUAAGAAUUCUCUCCAUUGGACCAUGAAAAAAUUAAUUACACUAACAUAAGUUCUAAACUUUUCAAAUCAUACAAUUAACUAUUAAAUUAUUUAUUAGAGCCCCUAAUGGGUUCUUACCAUUGGAGUUGCUCUUACAGUGAGGAUUUUGCGGAGAAAACUGGUUCUAGUGAAGAACAAUGAUUUAGAUUUUAGGUUCUGAAUGUGUUCCUGUUUCUUUUAUUAUUUGCUUUUUGUUCUGACUUCAUGCCUAGUUAAUGAUACAAACAUUUAUCUAUGGACUCUGUUCUUAUGCAGUUCUAUAUUUCUGGUUGGUAGUUUUAUUUCUUUGUCUAAUGUUUUGAUCAUUCUAAAGAGUUUGUUGAUGUUUGAUGUUUUGUUGGACAAGGAAACCUUAACGGGAGACGAGUUUCGGGAAACAUUUAUCUACACUGACAAACCGUUGAAUGCCGAUGAUAGAGUUCGAAUCGAAGAUUUGAUUAGUGUGUAAUACAAAAAUAAUAAUAAUACUAUGGUACUGAUAUUAAACUCAAACUGGACUUCACUUUUAAAAUUUUUAAAACCGACCAAAAAUGUCCUUUACCGCUUGGUAAGUUCCGGUUAUCACAACCACGAUACCAAGCAGUAUAAUACCGAUGAGAACCAGCGUGUCGAACCCGAGACGUCAGUAUUUGCCAGAGAUCUUUAGGUAACACAAACAUGGCAAUAUAACUGACGCAGUUGCGCUCAAGAAUGCUCCGACCAAACUCAUGAGAUCACCAAAAAACGGAAGAAGCAAUGCUACAAUCAAAUUGCUAGCAACCAACACCGUACUAAGGAUCAAACCGGCGGCUUUUUUGUUAGGCAGAAACCAUGAAAACCGGCUCCUCAAUGCGUCCAUAAUAGGUGUAACCACUAGGGCAAACUUAGCAAUUGGGUUCACCAAUGUAGUGCAUAUCGCCACUUUUGAAAUAAGUUUAUCAGUCGGAAGAUUCAGUGUUAUCUGUGAUUGAUUCUACAUUUGAUCCAUACAUUAAGUAGCCCAAUAUCGCCACCGAUGCAUAUAUGAAUGUGCAUAUUGUGAAACAUAUAACCAUAACCUUCAAAUAAAACAAAAAGACAAACAAAUUUAGUAUAUAACCAUCAUAUUAUAUAAUGGUAUGUUUUGAUAUAAUGUACGUUUGAGAAUUGGCGUUUGUUUUUCAUGGAAGUAUAUAGAGUAGGGAAAACCGGAUGAGCGCAAUAACAAAACGCGUAUAAGCUCACGGAGGUAGUGACUCCAUUAAUACGAAAGAUCUUUGAGUCAUUGUUCUUGAACCCUACUCCUUCAAAUGCUCCAACCCAAAAUAUAGAAGCAAGAAUCAACAAAUAAGCAAAGACACCACUCGCGUGUGAAACACACAAGAAUGGAAAAAGAUGAAACUGUAACUUCAAUAUUUCAUUCAACUCAAGAAACCCUAAUACAUCGCUAGCCUCUUAUAUACAUGAGGAGGCACAAGGGUACAUCUUAACCUAAAGCUUAAGUUAGCACACGCCAGCAUCAAGUAGCUGGAAUCGGUUCACGGUAAGGAUAUGAUGCUCUGAUCUCCUCUGAGCUGGCUUCUCCGUACACAGAAGACGACAAGAGCUCAAGUUCUUCCUUUUACUCAGAACUGUAUCAACGGCUAGUAUUGAAACUUCAGUGGGCUUAACGGGCUUGUCAACAUGUUUCUCAAUCGGCUCAGAUGCCAUUACGAAACCUUCUGUACCAGCUGGAGUCUUUGAGGAAGAUAGACUAAUAUCGCGGAAACAUAAGAAAGAAUCCUCAUGUCGUCUAGCCAAACCGAGGGAAGAAUAAUAAGAGCUACAAGGACGAUGAACAUUUGCUUGCCUCCAAAUUCUAAACCCAUGAAGUUGAACCCAACGUUUGAGAAGAGUUUAUUAAGAUUGUCAUCUUCUAAGAUCAAGAAACUAGUAGCGACAAGGUAAAGCUCGAGGUUCAUGAAGAUGGAGACAACGACACGUCCUGUGUUUCCAAAGGCUUUGUAGCCAAUGUCCGGGUAAGAUCUAAUAAGUGGAUCCAUGUCCAUACAUCUCUUAAUGAGAAUGGCACAAUGGAGAGUUGUAAUGGCUAUGGUGAAGAAUAUGAUCAGACUUAGCCAUCCACCGGAUGCUAAUGCAUAAGGGACUGAUAAUACACUAAUACCUAAAGAAGAACAAAUAACAAAGGUCGAGUGAAUGACUGAUUGUCUAAAGCACACAAGCAACUGUAAUUUUGUUUGUGUUCAUAUGUGAACACAUUACAAGUAUUUUACAAAUUAUAAAUACACACGCAAAGAAACUGUGUUCAAGAUCGUUAUCAAGAUAUGAUUUGAUUUAAGAAGCUUGUAUAGGAUUGAACACAUACGCGCCAAUCUAGAUACAAGUCUACAAGAUAAAGUCAAAAUCUUGAUUCAAAAGCUUGAACUAGAAAAUAUAACAUGUUUAGAUGCAUAUCUAUGUUAUUUAUACAUCAACACAUGUGGACAACUGGAUAAGCUAAGUGUUGGAUCCUUGGUUGUGAGUAUAGAACUUGAAUAAGAAUAGAAACUGUUUACAAAUUCUGUACUUCGCAAUUUCCAAAACUUGUUAUGAACUCGCCUCACGCGCUAUGCGAAAACUCUCUCAAACCUGAAGACCUCUUCGUUUCACCUCCUCCGUCGCCGUCUCCGGCGCCUGUCAGCCCCAUCUGGGAUGGCAAAGAAGAAAUCGGCGAAAGGAAAGGGUUCCACUGUUUCCCACGCUCGUCAAAACUCGUCUCCACCGAGUUCCUCUGUAUCAAAGUCUCUCUCUGUUGCAAAACAGAGACCUGAUUCUGAUUCCACCGCUGGAAAGGCUGCAAGCGACCUUUCUCCAGCAAUUGAUGCCCAAACUGCUGUUGUCAAAGCAGAUCCGGCCAUGGAGAUUGUUUCCCCCAAUCUUGAAAACCUAGCUACAGAAGUUACUGUACCUAUUUCGAAAUUCUCUGAUACCACUUCUGCAACAAACACUGGAAUUGAAACAGUGAUAGAAACGACCUCUCCUCAGGAUAGACAAGACGUCCACGUCCCCUCUCCUGCAAAUCCUACGGCUUCACCCUCUACUUCAAGUCCAGCAGAGCUCUGGAAAGGCUUUGUGAAGGAAGCUAACAUAAAGCUCUACCCAAAGGAGAAACCUUUUCUGCUCGACUCAGGCGAACCGUGUGUUACCAUACCAAACGCCGUAGUGGAGAAGAACAAAAAGGCUUGGGAAUGCUUCAUCAUAGGUCAGUUCUAUGACGAAGCCCCUGCUCGGGGAGCUGUUCACGCGAUUGUAAACGGUAUCUAGAGCAAACAUCGCAGAGAUAUAACAGUCUCCAAGAUGGACAACCAGGCUUUUCUUUUCCGCGUCCCUUGUCCUCACGCCCGUAGACGCAUCUUAAGCCAAAGUCUAUGGCAGAUUGAUGGUCUCUCGAUGUUUGUUGCCAAGUGGUCUCCGGGUAUUCAACAGACCAAACCUGAACUCAAGAUGGUGCCAGUUUGGCUUGAAUUUCGCGGAGUCCCAUUACAGUUCUUCAACGGAGAUGCCUUGAAGGAGAUAGCGGGAAUGGUUGGACAGCCGGUCUGCCUUCACCCAUCAACAGAGCAUCUAACAAAUAUUGAGGUGGCAAAAGUCUACACUGUUAUAGAUCCCAGAAAACCGCUGCCAAAAUUCGUAAAUGCUCGGUUCGAAAGUGGUGAGACUCGUCGCAUCUCAGUCACUGGCCCUUUCCUCCCGGCUUUAUGUUCAUUUUGCAAGAAAGUGGGACACUCCAUAUCCCGUUGCAAAGCAGCACCGAAAACCUGCACUCUCUGCAACUCCGUAAGGCACUUAACGGUUGAGUGUUCGAGGUACAAUCGCGAGAAGGCGAAAGGAAAGGCACCUAUAAAAAACUUACUCCCGAUUGUAACGCAGACAAAGGCUGUCUACAGGCCAGUGAGUGGAAAGAGCACAGAUGUUUUGAUCUCCUCGGAUGCUACUACUGGAAAGAAAGAUGAACUGGUAAUACGAACACCACCACAUCCCAAAAGAACAUCAACUUCGCCACGACGAGCCAAGGAGAUGGGUAUUAGGAUGCGAUCCCUGUCCCCCACCAAUAAUCAGUCUCCGCGCGUUAAGGCUCCACAACAGUCUCCCCUCGUAGAGUUCAAUGAUCUGAGGGAUGGUGGUCUUUGUGUGGAUUUGUCUCCUUAUGCAGAUGAUCAGCACUCUAAUGAUGACUCCCUCUCAGCCGGCCACUCCUCUGGUCAUGUGUCUGAAGGCAACAAGUUUUCAGGAGAGGAGGAUAAUCCGGACGAUGGAAAUGACAAGUAUAUUGAAGUCAUUUCUCGAAGAAUGAAGAAAAACUUAAAAGGAAAGUCUAGGGGUGGAGGCCCUUUAAUCCUCUAAACCUUAACUUUUUAAAUGGAUCUUUUUUGUUGGAAUAUUAGAGGAAUAAAUGAUCCUGUGAAGCGGAGGGGUUUUAGAAAAUGGAUGCGGAAGAAUAAACCAAUUUUUGGUAGUCUCGUGGAGACACAUGUACAGUUAUCUAAGUCGGCUAAGGUUGUAGAUUCUAUUUUACCGGGUUGGUCUUUUCAUGGAAACUAUGACCACACGGACUUGGGGAGGAUAUGGGUUGUUUGGCACCCUUCGGUUAAAGUAAGGAUUAUCUCGAGUUCUCGCCAAAUGACUUCUUGUGUUGUGAAGCUCCCACAGAUAAAUAAGGAGUUUCUGGUUUCGUUUAUCUAUGGUUCCAACUGCAGAAUUGAAAGACGUACACUAUGGAGCGAGUUGGAAGCAUGCUCAGUAUCUCAGCAGGUGAUUAAUACACCUUGGAUCACUCUCGGUGACUUUAAUGAGAUUUUACAUCCAUCAGAGCACUCAACGACUGAUCAAUUCUCUUUCUCACGGGGCUUGAGGGAUUUCAAAGACUGUGUUGACAGCACUGCUUUGUUUGAUCUUCCCUACUGCGGGAGUUCUUUUACUUGGUCAAAUGGACACAUAUCAAAGAAAUUGGAUAGAAUCCUCACUAAUGCAGCAUGGUUUCAGCAGUUUCCAGAGUCUAUCGGGGUCUUUGGCAUUCCGGGAAUCUCUGACCACAGUCCCUGCUGUGUUUUCUUCGAUCAGUCUAGGCCGAAGCAAAAGAGACCAUUUAAAUUCUUCGCUCACUUGAAUCAACAUGACGAAUUUGUUGAGAUCCGUCGUAACUGUUGGAACUCUUUGAACUUCUCUGGAACAAAUCAGAUAAGAGUCUCUAAAAAGCUGAAGGAGCUCAAGGGAAUUAUUAAAACCUUCAACAAAGAGCACUUUUCCCAGCUGGAGCAACGCGUAGAAGAUGCAUUCUCCGAGCUGUGUCUUGCUCAAGAAAGUGUUCUUACAAACCCUUCUCAUUCCUCUACCCAAUUCGUUCAAGACGCUCAUCGUCGCUGGCACGUUUUGGCAAAAGCUGAAGAUUCUUUCUUGAAACAGAGGUCACGGGUACAAUGGUCUGUAGACGGGGACUCAAACACUGCCUACUACCACAUGAUAAUUAAAACAAGACAGGCCCAAAACCAAAUUGUUUUUCUCCUUGAUAGUGAUGGAGCCAUCAUUGACCAGAUUGAAGACAUAAAGAAGCAUGCUGUUGAUUACUACUCAAAUCUGUUAGGUGGCCCUUCGUCUUCAGCUGCCCCUUCUCCAUCGACUAUAGCCUCGUUCUUGCCUCUUCAUUGUUCUGCAGAAGCUGUGAGCCUUCUUGCUGCUGAGUUCAGUGCUUCAGACAUACAGGCAGCUUUCCUCUCCCUUCCAAAGUCCAAAGCCCCCGCACCGGAUGGUUAUCCUGCAGAAUUUUUCAAGGCAAACUGGAGUGUGGUAGGAAAAGAAAUGAUCGCAGCAGUGAAAGAGUUUCUAUCAACUGGGUGUCUUCUCCAACAAUGGAACUCAACGAUCAUUUCCCUAAUUCCGAAGAAGGCAAAUGCUAACCGGAUGACUGAAUUCAGACCCAUAUCCUGUUUCAAUACCCUCUACAAGGUAGCUUCCAAGCUGCUAUCAAACAGGCUUAAAGCUGCCCUGCCGAAGCUUAUCUCCUCUGCCCAAUCAGCCUUCGUUCCAGGACGUCUUCUAGUUGAGAAUGUACUCUUAGCGACAGAGCUUGUGUCUGGAUAUAAAUGGAAAGAAAUCUCAAAGCGGUGUAUGCUGAAAGUUGAUCUACAAAAGGCUUUUGAUUCGCUUAAUUGGGAAUUCAUAUUGAAUACGCUCGAAGCCCUUGGGUUUCCAAGCCACUUCCGGAAGCUGGUAUCUCAGUGCAUAACAACUACCAGAUUCUCUGUAUCAAUUAAUGGUGAGUUGUGUGGCUAUUUUAAGGGGUCAAAGGGUUUACGGCAGGGCGACCCGCUCUCUCCCUAUCUAUUUGUCAUUGCGCUGGAAGUAUUCUCUCAGCUGCUAAAUGCGAAGUUUAGAGUUGGGGAUAUUGGCUACCAUCCGAAGACAUCAGACCUUGAGGUAACACAUCUUGCCUUUGCUGAUGAUAUUAUGAUUUUCUUUGAUGGUGAGGAAAACUCCCUUGCUAAUAUCGUUGAUACUAUGGAGUUAUUUGCCACUUGGUCUGGAUUGAGAAUGAACAAAGGAAAAACAGAACUCUUUGCAGGAGGGUUGAACCAGGCUGAAACUACUGAUCUGCGACGUCUUGGUUUCACUCUCGGUUCAAUGCCUAUCCGUUACUUGGGUCUUCCUCUGAUGCACCGUAAGCUGCGCAUUUCCGAAUACAGGCCACUGUUAGUGAAAAUAGCGGGUCAGUUCACUGCUUGGUCUGGUAAAAAGCUGUCCUAUGCUGGUCGUGCUCAGCUGAUAAACUCGGUUAUCUAUGGAACUAUAAACUUCUGGACUUCGGCAUUUGUUCUGCCUAAAGGAUGCUUACAGCAAAUUCAAAGUUUAUGCUCUCGCUUCUUAUGGACCGGAAAUAUUACUAAUCGUGGAAUGGCUAAGAUUGCGUGGAGCACAAUCUGUUUACCUAAAAGAGAAGGAGGGCUCGGCUUUAGGAACCUGGAAAUUUGGAACAAGACCCUUUGCCUAAAGCUUAUUUGGAUGUUAUAUGUUCAUAAUCCUUCUUUAUGGGCUUCAUGGAUUAGGAAGUAUAAGAUUGGAGAUGAGAGCUUAUGGAGCCUGGACCCUAAGAAGGCAGGCUCGGGAACAUGGAGGUCACUGUUAAACCUGCGUCAUCUAGCUACAAAAUUCUUGAGAGCAGAGGUUGGAAAUGGUGACAGAAUAAGCUUUUGGUGGGAUACUUGGACCCCUCUAGGUCGGUUAAUUGAUUUAUUCGGUGAGACAGGUCCACGUGAACUCUCAAUUCCUCUGUUCGCAUCAGUUGCUGAUAGUUGUGACCAUAAUGGUUGGAGACUGAGAGGUGCUCGCUCACCUGCGGCAGAGAAUCUACACAUUCAUCUCACUAGUAUUCAGCUGCCUACUACCUCCCAAACAGAUGAUGAGUUUUACUGGUUCAUUGAUGGUGAGAAUCUACCGCGAUACUCUGCAUCGCGAACUUGGGGGGCAAUUAGAGAUAGAGCUCCUGCAGUCACUUGGUCAAGCAGUGUCUGGUUCAGAUCAGCAACACCUCGUCAUGCUUUCUUGAUGUGGAUCGCACAGAAUGAUAGAAUGCCAACUCGAGUACGACUAACAAGUUGGGGCCUUGGCAUCUCAUCUAACUGCUGUCUAUGCGACUCAACUCCAGAGACUCGAGAUCAUUUGCUUUUGCGCUGUGAAGUUAGUAAGCAGAUUUGGGUCUUGGUUCUGAGAAGGUUAGGAUAUUCCCACUCUUGCUUCAUCACUUGGACAUCUUUUAUUGAGUGGUUAUCUCUAAGGGAUUCCACAGCUCCACUGAUGCUCAAAAGAAUUGUUGCUCACGCAACUAUCUAUAGUAUCUGGGGAGAACGGAACAAGCGUCUACACGACGGUAUCUCGACUGCUCCUCCAACGAUUUACAGGCUCAUUGAUCGUAAUAUCAGACGACGGUAUCUCGACUGCUCCUCCAACGACUUACAGGCUCAUUGAUCGUAAUAUCAGAGACACAAUCUUGGAGAAACAGCACAUCAAGAAGACUUUCAAAAACCUUAUGCUAUCUUGGCUAAGGCAUGAUUAGGAAGUCUUCUAUUUAUGGUUUACACUUUGUUUUUAUCUUUUUUGCCAAAGUGCAUCCCAUCUACUCUAAUUAUUUUUGUAAAGUUUUACAAACUCUUCUCAUAUUUAUAAGAAUUUCAAAUCCUUGGCAAAAAAAAAUUUCCAAAACUUGUUCAACAGUACUUUUUUUUUUCCGACAAAGUAACUUUAUUAAGUACAUUAGUAUCUAAUGUAAUCAUUACAAAUCAUAUUGGAAAGCCAAUGUGGAAUUAAUGUAGAAGAAGAUGUAAAUAAGACAUCAGCGUUACAUUUUGUAGCUAAAAUAUGAGCCACCCCAUUUGCUUCUCGAUGAACAUGCGUAAACUGAACCUUUUCAAGUCUGCUACCCCAACUUCUGAUAUCAUUACAAAUCGUAGCAAUACUAAAAUCACCAUGUUCUGCAUAGAUUGAUCUCAUUAAGACCAGACAAUCACCUUCAAAAAUCACAUUCUUGUAACCCAAGGCAAACACACAUUGAAUGGCUGCUAAUAAGGCCUGACCCUCCGCCUCAAGUGGUGAAAGAGAAGUGCCUAAACUAGCCAUUUCCCAGUAUUAUACCACGCCAUUAACGUCCCGAAUGAUCCAGCCUGCAGAGACUUGUAAGCUUUGAGCAUUGUAGGCAGCAUCGAAAUUGCAUUUAUAAUAAGGUAACGUUGGACGACGGCACAUAGAUUGACGCUGUGGACUUCUCAUAAGAGUAGUAUCUUGCACCGUUUUUUGUAACCAGUCACGAACUUCUGCGGUAACAUAACCAGCAUCGCGUUGAGGGUUGAUAACUUGAUUUUUGAAAAUGAGGUUAUUCCUCGAUUUCCAAAUCUUCCAAAGUAUCCAAAAAGGUGUCAACUUCUGUUCCAGUGUCAGGGUUGAUGAAGACUGAAGAUCAAACAGACGUCUCAUGUUGGUUUCCAAGUCGUCAGUAAACGUUGCAGAGUAGCCUAAGGUAACCUGAUUCGACCUCCAUGUUUGAAUCGAAAGUGGACACAUGAAGAAAAGAUGGUUCACCGUUUCAGGGGAACUAGAACAACGAGGGCAGAGGCUAUCCAAAGACAUACCCCUUGUAUUUAAUCUUGUAUUUGUUCCCAAAGCUAAAGUAAUGAGGCGCCAGAAUAACAAAAACAAAAACACGAAAGAAAAAGCAAAAACAAACCUGAUAAAGCGUUAAUGCCAUGGAAAUAAGUCUUGGAGAAAGAGGUAUUGCCCUGUGAAUUAUUAUCGAACUGAUAAUCAUGAAGCGUCGUUUCUUCAUCAUUAAUUGUCUUUACGAUAAAUGGCUCCGACAUGAAAUCUUCCUUCUCGUUCAUAAUUUGUUUUAUCUUUGACUCUUCUCCUUCGAUGUAAGCGAUACAGAGAAAUGAGAUCGAGUGAAGAGAUAUAAAAGUUGCAAGUAAUGAAAAAGCAAAACGCAAAACGCAAAAUGCAAUAUACUUAUAUUUAUGUAUUAGAUCCGAUGAUUACGCAUGAUGAUUAUCAGAUAAUUCAGAUAAAUUUACAUUUCUAUUUUUGGAUGAAAUGUCAGAUAAUUCAGAUAAAUUUAAAUAUUUCUUAUAAGAAUAUUUGAGUGAUUCAGUUUUUUCAGUAUUAAUAAUUCCCAUUUUUAUUCACAUUUAUGAGUGAUUCACAUUUUUCGGUAUUAAGAAUAUCUAUACUAUUAAACAGAUGAAAACAUUUGUGAUUGUUAUAGCGGUUUUGCACCUUGCGUGGAUGUGAAGUAUUAACGAACCUAUAUUGUUUGAACCAUUUUAUUAAGGGGAAUUAGUUGAACCAUUUUGUAAAUAUAUUAAGGUAGACAAAAUUUCACUGACCAUAUAUUUUAUAUACCAGUAUAUGUAUUUAUUAUUUUCAGGAUUGAGAGUUUAGGAUUAUCCUUCUACAUAUAUACACAUUUAGGGACACUGCUCUAAGGUUGACAAAUAUAUAAAUGUAAAUCAUUUUAAUAUAAACUCCAUGGGCUAUAUACAAAUAUAAAAAUCAAUAUUGUUAAACUUGUGUAUUCAGUAGGUCUGAUAUGUGUCUGAUAUGUGUAUUUUUAGCUUUACCAGUCAAAACUAUGUGAAGUCGUGAACCAUAAAUUGUUAAAACCGUAAGUAAAUAUUUUCUGAUUGCAUAGUCUAUAUGUCAUGUGUUUAAAUAAUGAUAGUCCACUCGUGAAUCUCACAAUGUUUUGUUUACAUGAAAGAAAUGAGUAUUAUUUAUUAUUAAUUAAUAUAUAGCUAAUUAUCUUUUAGGCUAUAUUGUAGAUGUGAUCGGCAAAUAUAUAAGUAUCACGGAUGGCUUUUUGAUUCACAAAAAUUUAAAAUAUUUUAUUUAAGGCAAAUCUUAGAAAAUUUAAGAAAUUCAGUUAUAUCACCUAUUAAAUUGAUUAAAUUAUUGUUAAAGAAAUAUAUGGUAAUAUAUUGUUAGUAUAAAUUUAAGAUAAAACCAAAAUAUUAAUAGUCUACUGAAAGGGUCUAACAACCUUGUAUAAAUAAAUUUUUUUAGAGUGAUUCUCUUUUAAUAGAAUAGAUUUUGGGAUACAGGAGAUGUGUACGAGAAGGGUUCUAUUUUAUUUUUCCCACUACAUUGACCACUUUUUCUAUAUGGAAGUUCCAAGUGAUCCGGUAAAGUUUACAAACCCUUUUGCUUUCCUGUUAACUUUCUUAUGUUGACAAAUAAGUUAUCCACUCAUACAAAAUAUCACGUUUUUUAUAACAGUGGAAUAUUAAAACAUUUUGAAAAUGAAAGGUGAAGUAUUAAAUUUGUUUGUUUAAUAUAUACACGCAAAAAUCAGAAUAAAACUGACGAAAGCAAGGUUAUCGCUCACGAUUAGAUUUACUUAUAAGACCCUAAAUCGAGUAAACGACGUGUCGGCUCAAGAGAGCAAUGUUAUAUUAUUAUAAUACCAACUGGAGGGUUAAAAUAUCUAUAAUCUUCUUUAAAUAAUUUAUCCUUGUUGCUCAGCACGAUAGGUCAAAAAAUUUGUAAACUCCUUUAAUCUGUCGCUACGACGGUUUGAACCGGUUCAUGCUUUUAUUAUAUAUUCAAUUUGUUUCAUAAUAAGUUUUAUUUUAACUUUUUUUUGUUACACAAAAAUAUCAUUUUAAUAUUUCACUACAAAUUAUAUUUACUUUCAGCUAAAAAUUAAUGGCAAAAUGCAUUAAUUUUAUAAAUAAUUUUAUUUAUCUAAAAUAUUAUUGAUCAAAAAAAUGUAAAUAAUAAUAAUUUAAACACAUUUCAAUCAUUUUCUUAAUCUGUGUGAAAAGUAUUAAAAUGACACUUAUUAAGAAACAAAAUAAAUAUCUUAUUAGGUUAAAUUUAGAAACCGUCUAUGUCUUAUGAAAUCUUUUUUUUUAAUAUCUUCAGCUAUAUUUAGUAGAGUAACCUCUACAGAACGAAAAAACACUAAUUUUAUUUUACGAAUCAUUUCAUUAUAAUAUUAAAUUUUGUUUGGUCUAAUUGUUUUUUUUCUUGGUCAAACGUUUGGUAUAAGCCAUGUUCGUUUAUUAGACGCAGCGACAGUAAAGAUGAGCGUCUAAAAAAUAACAAACGAUAAAGAAAAAUAACGACAUUGUCAUGUUAUAUAACAGUCCCUCGCAACUGACGUUAAAGCUAUUUCUUCUAUUUUAAUAGCCGCCAUAAAAAACAACAGUUUCAUUACUGUUGCGGCAACAAUUGUUUUGUGUAUAAAUUGAGUCGCAACAUCUUCAAACGAGCUGUUUUUAACGAGGUCUUGAUUGGUAGAGCAUUAACAAUAGCAGUAGCAGUAUGCUAUAGAAGGAGUAUGCUGCAUGAGCUGUAUGCUUUUGUUAAAUUGUUUAAUAGGAUGAUUGGUAGAGCAGUAUGAGUAUACUAUUUAAAAUUAUUAUAAAAAUUAGUAUAUAAUAUAUAAUAUAUUUAUNNNNNNNNNNNNNNNNNNNNNNNNNNNNNNNNNNNNNNNNNNNNNNNNNNNNNNNNNNNNNNNNNNNNNNNNNNNNNNNNNNNNNNNNNNNNNNNNNNNNAGGUUCCAUGUAUAAAAUCUAUCUCACAUCAAUUCACAACUUGUGUCCUUUUAUGGCCUGGUUUUGAUGUGUCACGUAAUUUCAGCUACAGUAUAAAGAAUCAGAAGGUUCAUCACACCGUGAAGGGACAUAUGCCGCAAUGCCGGAUACUCCAAAGGCCAGCAUCAUAACUUGAAUCGUCAAUUCUUACUGCAGUUUCAUCCUUAUAUGGAUAUAUUAUCUCUAAUCCUUUGUGUAUGAUCAGGAUCGCAUCUGAGCCAUUCAGUUUUGGAGGUACGUUUCCUUAAAUCUCCUUUGUUUCAGAAUUGUAUAUACCACUUAAUCAUCUCACUAACUUGCAAAGUGUGUGUCUGUUUCAGCUGAAAGACCAAUCAAGAAGGAACAAAAGCGCAAGGUAAUCCAGAUCAGAGUCUAGUCUUUGUAUCAUAUAUAUGGAUUUCUAUGAAAGUAUAUAAACCCUACACGGUCCUGGAAGACAAUCAGAUACUCCUUCACCAGCUCAUAAGAGGCCCAGAAAAUUGAGAGCAUCUGAUCUCUAACUGCAAUACUGAUUUCCAAUUUUAUGUAUGUGUAAUUUGCAAUUUUCAGUCACAAUGCACUAUUUGUCAGUUUAUAAAAGGAGUAAAUUUAAAACAUUAACGUAUAUAAUUUUUUUUGUUGCAUUUUUCUAUGUAAAAUCAUUAAUUAAUCUCUUGCGCCACAUUUUAUACACGAUUGAAUCACAUCAACUAAUUCAAUCGUUGCAUUUUUCUAUGCAAAAACAUUUAUUAAUAUCUUGAACUAAAAUUUGUAUAAAAUGAUUGAAUCACAUCAUCCGUUGCAUUUUUAUUUUAUUUUUCUAUGUAAUCACAUUUUUAAUCAUAACAGUUUCAAUUGAUAACAAAAUUAAUCCUGGUAAUCAUCACAGUGCAUCAGCUAAAACAGAUACCACACAUCACAUAAAGCAUCAGCUUCACAGGCACAAAUAAAGAGACUAAGAUUAAACAAGCAAUGGCUAACAUUUUUCACCAAUUGAGCCAAGUGAGAGAGGGUAGCAACUCCGUACGGUCUGCUCAGAAAAGCAUAAUAACAAAUAAAGAGGAAGACUUGAUAAGGGAAAACCGGAAAAUUGUAUAAAGCAUUGCUAUUUUGAUAAAACAAAUUGUCUUAAAAUGAAACAUCAUCAUUACACUCUUAUUCUCAAACAUAUCCAUAUCUUUCAGCUUCUAAAUAAAUAAAGGAAAUAACACGUGCAGUAGAUAUUGGAAACCAAGAAAGCGAGCUUUAGUCUAGGUAUUGUUAUCUUAACAUCCCUUAAUCCACAAUCAUUUACACCAUGCCUCUUUCCUUCGUUUUCUGAUAUGCUACAGAGAGUCUAUGUGAGGAAGAGAAGAGAAAGAUAGAGCGGAGGAGAGGAGGAAGAACAGAGUAUUGGCCGUUAGAGUUUGAUGACGUGGAUUUAUUCUGUUACGAGUAUUAGAGAAUAAGGGGAUUGUACUUGGGCCUUGGUAUAUAAGAGGACCCAAGCAAGAGAAGAUAGUUAGUCAGUUAGAGAGUCUUGGGCUUGCCCUUGAUUGAGAGAGAGAUUGUAUUCGGCUUAGUACUUCGACUUGUGAAGUCUAAGAGGGGUGGUUGGGUGGAUCUUAAUCAAUAAACAUCACAGUUCUAACAAAUUGGUGACGGUGAGCGCUCUGGAUAACGGAACUUCGCGCGAUUAGGAUGAAGAAUACGAGACUAGCCGGCGAGAAUCAAUCAGAUCAUCCGAUGACGGUGGAGUCUCUGGCAACGAUGUUACGCGAUCAUACGGCGUCGCAGGUUGAUACGAAUCGGCGAUUCGCUGAGUCGUUUCACGAGUUGGAGAGAAACGCGAAGGCGAUGGAAUCGCGAAUUGAAGAGACGUUGGAGGCGAAGAUCGAAGCAUGUUACGAGAAGAUGUGUGAUCGAUUGGAGAAGAAACUUUCAAAAUCGAUUGAUGUUUCGGACGAAUCUCCUCCGCCGUAUCGUCAUCCUAACUAUCAGGUACAUAACUCCACCUUGGAACCUGGCCGUAGCAUUAGGAAUGAGGAUGUGAGUGAUCGAACCACUGUAGUUGGUAGUCGCGAAAGAAUGUUGAAACGUGUGGAAUUACCUGUGUAUGAUGGUUGUGAUGCGUAUGGAUGGCUAGCUCUUGCAGAACAUUUUUUCAGGAUUGGCGGUUAUGAUGACCGAGCUAAAUUGGACAUGGUCUCAGUGAGUUUAGCAGGAGAUGUACUCAGCUGGUUUAACAGUGAAUCACAUCGAAGAGGGUUCAGAAGCUGGAUGGAGUUUAAGCAGAAACUGAUAGCGAGAUUCAACAAAGAGAAGUUCAGGGAUCCGAGCCAGCCAUUCUUUGCGGUUAAAAAGACUGGUACUGCAGCUCAGUAUAUCCAUGCCUUUGAAGAUCUAUCAACGUUGGUGACUGGUCUGACAGAUACGCAGCUCGAAGGGAUAUUCAUGAAUGGGUUAAAACCUGAAAUGAGAGAAGUGGUAACGAUGUGCAAACCAGUUGACUUGGAUGAAAUGAUCUCAACAACAACCCUAAAGUUCUGAAUCGAUCCUGAUCGAAUCGAAGACCGUAUCGUUUCUGGAUUGGCUGAUAGCUACUCGUUAAACUCGAAAUCGUAAUCGGAAUGGGCGGUACGGACGCGAAGGACAUCCUCGGGUUGCCGAAGACUCCACUGUCUUUAGCUCAGGAGAAGAGAUCUCGACCCCAGAAGGAGUCCCAUCGAAAACCCGAUGGCAUUUCUCGCGAGGUGAGCUCUAACAACUCGAAACAAGCCCUGGAAUCGAUCGGAUUAAUAGUCUCUCAAGCUGUUAAUUUUCGUCGUCUUUGCUGAAUUUCAGGUUUAUGCGCUUACGGGCGGCGUUGCCUUCAAUUGAUUAAAACGACCUCAAAUUUAUAGAUUUUAGAUGAUUUAUCUGUGGGUUUUGAUGUUAAAGAACCCUUCUUUCUUUCAGGUAGCUUGGCAAUGGCUUCCCGUCAAGAGUUCUGCUAGGAGUGAUGAUUUGCAGCUCUUCCAUUGGGUAUGUUCCUUAGCUUUGGAACCUUAUUACACAAAGGUUGAGCAUUUGAUUCUUUCUAAUGUCAUGUGUAUUGUCAGGUUAGAGUGGUUAAUGAUGUUCCACCAUCAGGUGACUAUUCCAUACAACAAGUUAAAUGUUAUAUAUCCAGUUGAUGAGUGUCUAUUACAGUCUCGUUUUGAGUUAAUUUUACUGUCCCCUCUCCGUUUAUGACUCUUAUUCGCGUCUUUUUUUUUUUUUUUUUUUUUUUUUUNNNNNNNNNNNNNNNNNNNUUUUUUUUUUUUUUUUUUUUUUGUUAAAAUGCAGUCAGUUGAUGUCCUGAAAUACACUGACGAUGAGUAUGAGAACCAUUUAACGGACCCUGUAAGUGUAUGCUCUUGCUUUUAUUUUAUGUACAUGCUUGCUCUGGAUACUUGUCAAAUUUGUUGAUUGUGCUCCCAACUUGUAGGUGUGGACCAAGGAAGAGACAGAUCAGUUGUUUGAAUUGUGUGAAAGGUUUGAUCUCCGUUUCACUGUGAUUGCUGAUCGCUUUCCAUUAUCCCGGACUCUAGAGGAAUUGAAGGAUCGUUACUAUAGCGGUAUGUUUUGAACUUUAUACGUUCAUUUACACCAUGCCUCUUUCCUUCGUUUUCAUCUUUGUUUCUUUCUGUUUUUUAUUUCGCGUUGCACCAGGAUUCGUUUGAAUUUACGAGGACUGAGAAUUCUCUGACUUAACUUCUUUUUGUAGUAACUCUGGGCCCUGCUGCGUGCUAGAGCUCAGUGUUGGCCAACCAUCCUCUUAUAAAAGUCAACUUCCUCUUUUAUAUCUCUUAUUAGCAAACAUAUCUGUAAAUAGUAUUUCUCAAUAUCUCGGCAUAAGCAGGAGCCGUAUGAUAGGACACGCGAUAGAGAGCGCAAACGUGCAUUGUCUAUGGUCUUGUCCCAGAGUAGACACCAAGAGAAGAAAGAUGCAGAGGUUUUUCUCUUUAAUUUCUACUAAGCAAUUGUAAAUUAGUUCUUUGCUUUCUCUUACACAGUCUCCCAUAACUACAGAUUCUAGCUGAGGCUCACAGAGAUGCGUUUGGCUGCGCGUGUAAGUGUUUUCUUAAAAUCAAUGUACUCGCUCGUGCUAGCUAAAUUACAAUAGAUGAAUUACCAUGAAGAAAUAUACCCUUUUACCUUAGACGCAUAUCAUAAAUCUGUCGUCAUCAUUUUGUCUCUUAAAACGAUUGGUCUUUCUGGAUGUCCAGCGUGCGGCAGAGCCUGAUGUGCCUGCGAAUGAGAAUAUCGGUAGUGUAUCUCCAUCUUCCAAUUCUCAACUUCCUGCAACUGCCGUGGCUCCAUCCACACUAUCAAUGGCAGAUUAUGCCUCUACCCUUGCUUCUCUGCACAUGGUGAGUUUCUCCCUCUUCUCCUCUUUCAAUUUUCAUUUAGGUUUCCACUAAAGUGAUCUGAUCCUUUUGGUGAAAUUUUGUCAAAUUUUCAGCUUCAUGUAUACUUGAGAACCUAUGGACUUGAACAAAUGGUCCAAGCUGCAAGCUCUGCUGUUGGUCUUCGAACGAUCAAGCGCGUUGAGUAGACUCUGCAAGAUCUCGGGGUUUGUUUCUGCUUCUUGUUCUGUUUAACUCUUUUUCUAUUUAUUUAUAUACCAUUUGCUAAUCUUUCCCAUCGACUGUGAGGAAUAAGAUUUAGCUAACGCCUUAAAGGGGCACUCUCACUCAAGCUAGGUUCUUAUGAGUUUAUUUGAUUAGCUCUGUUUUUAGGGGUUUUUUUUUUCAGAAUGAGUUUUAGUAUAUAUAAUUUUCUAUUUACAGGUUAAUUUAAAGCCAAAGUUCCUACGACAUCUUGAAUUACGAAAAGAAAAUUCUAACACUACUGAAUCUUCAGAAGCAGGUAAACUAGAUGAUACAGGUUCCAUGUAUAAAAUCUAUCUCACAUCAAUUCACAACUUGUGUCCUUUUAUGGCCUGGUUUUGAUGUGUCACGUAAUUUCAGCUACAGUAUAAAGAAUCAGAAGGUUCAUCACACCGUGAAGGGACAUAUGCCGCAAUGCCGGAUACUCCAAAGGUCAGCAUCAUAACUUGAAUCGUCAAUUCUUACUGCAGUUUCAUCCUUGUAUGGAUAUAUUAUCUCUAAUCCUUUGUGUAUGAUCAGGAUCGCAUCUGAGCCAUUCAGUUUUGGAGGUACGUUUCCUUAAAUCUCCUUUGUUUCAGAAUUGUAUAUACCACUUAAUCAUCUCACUAACUUGCAAAGUGUGUGUCUGUUUCAGCUGAAAGACCAAUCAAGAAGGAACAAAAGCGCAAGGUAAUCCAGAUCAGAGUCUAGUCUUUGUAUCAUAUAUAUGGAUUUCUAUGAAAGUAUAUAAACCCUACACGGUCCUGGAAGACAAUCAGAUACUCCUUCACCAGCUCAUAAGAGGCCCAGAAAAUUGAGAGCAUCUGAUCUCUAACUGCAAUACUGAUUUCCAAUUUUAUGUAUGUGUAAUUUGCAAUUUUCAGUCACAAUGCACUAUUUGUCAGUUUAUAAAAGGAGUAAAUUUAAAACAUUAACGUAUAUAAUUUUUUUUGUUGCAUUUUUCUAUGUAAAAUCAUUAAUUAAUCUCUUGCGCCACAUUUUAUACACGAUUGAAUCACAUCAACUAAUUCAAUCGUUGCAUUUUUCUAUGCAAAAACAUUUAUUAAUAUCUUGAACUAAAAUUUGUAUAAAAUGAUUGAAUCACAUCAUCCGUUGCAUUUUUAUUUUAUUUUUCUAUGUAAUCACAUUUUUAAUCAUAACAGUUUCAAUUGAUAACAAAAUUAAUCCUGGUAAUCAUCACAGUGCAUCAGCUAAAACAGAUACCACACAUCACAUAAAGCAUCAGCUUCACAGGCACAAAUAAAGAGACUAAGAUUAAACAAGCAAUGGCUAACAUUUUUCACCAAUUGAGCCAAGUGAGAGAGGGUAGCAACUCCGUACGGUCUGCUCAGAAAAGCAUAAUAACAAAUAAAGAGGAAGACUUGAUAAGGGAAAACCGGAAAAUUGUAUAAAGCAUUGCUAUUUUGAUAAAACAAAUUGUCUUAAAAUGAAACAUCAUCAUUACACUCUUAUUCUCAAACAUAUCCAUAUCUUUCAGCUUCUAAAUAAAUAAAGGAAAUAACACGUGCAGUAGAUAUUGGAAACCAAGAAAGCGAGCUUUAGUCUAGGUAUUGUUAUCUUAACAUCCCUUAAUCCACAAUCAUUUACACCAUGCCUCUUUCCUUCGUUUUCUGAUAUGCUACAGAGAGUCUAUGUGAGGAAGAGAAGAGAAAGAUAGAGCGGAGGAGAGGAGGAAGAACAGAGUAUUGGCCGUUAGAGUUUGAUGACGUGGAUUUAUUCUGUUACGAGUAUUAGAGAAUAAGGGGAUUGUACUUGGGCCUUGGUAUAUAAGAGGACCCAAGCAAGAGAAGAUAGUUAGUCAGUUAGAGAGUCUUGGGCUUGCCCUUGAUUGAGAGAGAGAUUGUAUUCGGCUUAGUACUUCGACUUGUGAAGUCUAAGAGGGGUGGUUGGGUGGAUCUUAAUCAAUAAACAUCACAGUUCUAACAAAUUGGUGACGGUGAGCGCUCUGGAUAACGGAACUUCGCGCGAUUAGGAUGAAGAAUACGAGACUAGCCGGCGAGAAUCAAUCAGAUCAUCCGAUGACGGUGGAGUCUCUGGCAACGAUGUUACGCGAUCAUACGGCGUCGCAGGUUGAUACGAAUCGGCGAUUCGCUGAGUCGUUUCACGAGUUGGAGAGAAACGCGAAGGCGAUGGAAUCGCGAAUUGAAGAGACGUUGGAGGCGAAGAUCGAAGCAUGUUACGAGAAGAUGUGUGAUCGAUUGGAGAAGAAACUUUCAAAAUCGAUUGAUGUUUCGGACGAAUCUCCUCCGCCGUAUCGUCAUCCUAACUAUCAGGUACAUAACUCCACCUUGGAACCUGGCCGUAGCAUUAGGAAUGAGGAUGUGAGUGAUCGAACCACUGUAGUUGGUAGUCGCGAAAGAAUGUUGAAACGUGUGGAAUUACCUGUGUAUGAUGGUUGUGAUGCGUAUGGAUGGCUAGCUCUUGCAGAACAUUUUUUCAGGAUUGGCGGUUAUGAUGACCGAGCUAAAUUGGACAUGGUCUCAGUGAGUUUAGCAGGAGAUGUACUCAGCUGGUUUAACAGUGAAUCACAUCGCAGAGGGUUCAGAAGCUGGAUGGAGUUUAAGCAGAAACUGAUAGCGAGAUUCAACAAAGAGAAGUUCAGGGAUCCGAGAGAUGAGUAUGAGAACCAUUUAACGGACCCUGUAAGUGUAUGCUCUUGCUUUUAUUUUAUGUACAUGCUUGCUCUGGAUACUUGUCAAAUUUGUUGAUUGUGCUCCCAACUUGUAGGUGUGGACCAAGGAAGAGACAGAUCAGUUGUUUGAAUUGUGUGAAAGGUUUGAUCUCCGUUUCACUGUGAUUGCUGAUCGCUUUCCAUUAUCCCGGACUCUAGAGGAAUUGAAGGAUCGUUACUAUAGCGGUAUGUUUUGAACUUUAUACGUUCAUUUACACCAUGCCUCUUUCCUUCGUUUUCAUCUUUGUUUCUUUCUGUUUUUUAUUUCGCGUUGCACCAGGAUUCGUUUGAAUUUACGAGGACUGAGAAUUCUCUGACUUAACUUCUUUUUGUAGUAACUCUGGGCCCUGCUGCGUGCUAGAGCUCAGUGUUGGCAAACCAUCCUCUUAUAAAAGUCAACUUCCUCUUUUAUAUCUCUUAUUAGCAAACAUAUCUGUAAAUAGUAUUUCUCAAUAUCUCGGCAUAAGCAGGAGCCGUAUGAUAGGACACGCGAUAGAGAGCGCAAACGUGCAUUGUCUAUGGUCUUGUCCCAGAGUAGACACCAAGAGAAGAAAGAUGCAGAGGUUUUUCUCUUUAAUUUCUACUAAGCAAUUGUAAAUUAGUUCUUUGCUUUCUCUUACACAGUCUCCCAUAACUACAGAUUCUAGCUGAGGCUCACAGAGAUGCGUUUGGCUGCGCGUGUAAGUGUUUUCUUAAAAUCAAUGUACUCGCUCGUGCUAGCUAAAUUACAAUAGAUGAAUUACCAUGAAGAAAUAUACCCUUUUACCUUAGACGCAUAUCAUAAAUCUGUCGUCAUCAUUUUGUCUCUUAAAACGAUUGGUCUUUCUGGAUGUCCAGCGUGCGGCAGAGCCUGAUGUGCCUGCGAAUGAGAAUAUCGGUAGUGUAUCUCCAUCUUCCAAUUCUCAACUUCCUGCAACUGCCGUGGCUCCAUCCACACUAUCAAUGGCAGAUUAUGCCUCUACCCUUGCUUCUCUGCACAUGGUGAGUUUCUCCCUCUUCUCCUCUUUCAAUUUUCAUUUAGGUUUCCACUAAAGUGAUCUGAUCCUUUUGGUGAAAUUUUGUCAAAUUUUCAGCUUCAUGUAUACUUGAGAACCUAUGGACUUGAACAAAUGGUCCAAGCUGCAAGCUCUGCUGUUGGUCUUCGAACGAUCAAGCGCGUUGAGUAGACUCUGCAAGAUCUCGGGGUUUGUUUCUGCUUCUUGUUCUGUUUAACUCUUUUUCUAUUUAUUUAUAUACCAUUUGCUAAUCUUUCCCAUCGACUGUGAGGAAUAAGAUUUAGCUAACGCCUUAAAGGGGCACUCUCACUCAAGCUAGGUUCUUAUGAGUUUAUUUGAUUAGCUCUGUUUUUAGGGGUUUUUUUUUUCAGAAUGAGUUUUAGUAUAUAUAAUUUUCUAUUUACAGGUUAAUUUAAAGCCAAAGUUCCUACGACAUCUUGAAUUACGAAAAGAAAAUUCUAACACUACUGAAUCUUCAGAAGCAGGUAAACUAGAUGAUACAGGUUCCAUGUAUAAAAUCUAUCUCACAUCAAUUCACAACUUGUGUCCUUUUAUGGCCUGGUUUUGAUGUGUCACGUAAUUUCAGCUACAGUAUAAAGAAUCAGAAGGUUCAUCACACCGUGAAGGGACAUAUGCCGCAAUGCCGGAUACUCCAAAGGUCAGCAUCAUAACUUGAAUCGUCAAUUCUUACUGCAGUUUCAUCCUUGUAUGGAUAUAUUAUCUCUAAUCCUUUGUGUAUGAUCAGGAUCGCAUCUGAGCCAUUCAGUUUUGGAGGUACGUUUCCUUAAAUCUCCUUUGUUUCAGAAUUGUAUAUACCACUUAAUCAUCUCACUAACUUGCAAAGUGUGUGUCUGUUUCAGCUGAAAGACCAAUCAAGAAGGAACAAAAGCGCAAGGUAAUCCAGAUCAGAGUCUAGUCUUUGUAUCAUAUAUAUGGAUUUCUAUGAAAGUAUAUAAACCCUACAGGGUCCUGGAAGACAAUCAGAUACUCCUUCACCAGCUCAUAAGAGGCCCAGAAAAUUGAAAGCAUCUGAUCUCUGACUGCAAUACUGAUUUCCAAUUUUUUUUUUUUGAAUAAAUUUUAAAUUUUAUUUAUCCAAAACUUUUGUACAUAAGAAUGUGUAAACACUGUGAUUGAAAUAAAAACAAAGACAUUAUUCUAGUAUUUAAUACUCAAACUCUCUAUCCAAACCAUAUACUCAUCCCUCCAUUGCCUCCUAAUAGUAGAAAGCUUAUUUUUCACAGUUUUGUCAAUAUUCUUCAAAAGCAGCAUGUAUGGGAGCUCUUUUUCACUAUGUUUCCUGUGGUUUUUUUCUCUCCAUAUCGCAUGACCAGCUGCUUGAAAAGUGUACCUUAUCAAAAACCUCUUGAUUCUGUCCAAUCUAUGAUCCAACAAAAGCACAUUUAUCUCCUCCCAAUCUUCUGUGUAUCUAGACUGAAGCAAACCUCUUGUCAGACUUUGCCAAAUCCUACUCGAGUAAGAGCAUAGAUAAAACAAAUGAUUCCUCGACUCCAUUUGUUGCUUGCAAAGAACACACAGAGGAUCAAUAUUUGGGUUCCAUUUCAAAACUCGAUCACAUAUGGCCAGCCUAUCUCUCAUUGUUGUCCAUGUGUGAAAUGAAUAUUUAGGUGUGGCAUGCUUAAACCAUACCCCUUUGCUCCAAACUUGAUCCGCAUACACUUUCCUUAUCUCCAGCCAAGUGUUUUUUGAUGAAAAGGUUGGUUUGUAUUUCCCAUUCUUACUCCUCCAAAGGCCAAUAUCUUCUAUUUGAUGGUUCUCAUGCUUUAACUUCUCUAUCUCAUCCUCCACUUUAUUAAAUAUCUCAAUGCGGUGAUGUCUUCUUCUAUGCAUAUGCAUAGCUUCAGCAACUGUUGAAUUCACUAGAACUCCCAUCUCUAUGAAUCCCCUUGUGCCUAGCAGAUCCAAUAAUCGCCCCUUUGAACACCACAAAUCAUACCAAAAGGAAGUAGACUCUCCAUUCUUAACCUCAACACAAUGAAACCUUUUUGCAACCUCUCUCAUUUUGAGGAUUUUAUUCUACAUCCAAGACCCCAUUAUUGUGUUAUCCCUUAAAGCCCAAAGAGACCCUUUGCGCAUCAGAUAGCUUUUAAUCCAUUCCAGACUAACUUGAGACAGGAUACAUCAUUCACUUCAGUUAACGGUCUUAAUCCCAAUCCUCCUUCUGACUUCAUCUUACAAACCUCAGACCACCCCACUUUAGACUUGUUUGUUUUCAUUUCAGGACCAGACCAAAGGAAGGAUGCACACAUUUUUUCUACCUCAAGAAGGAAUUUCUUUGGCAUUCUAAACGCUGCUAGCCAGAAGUUUGUCAAACUCAUAAUCACCGAGUUGAUUAGUUGCAAACGGCCUGCAAACAAUAAAAAUCUCCCAUUCUAGUUACACAUCUUUAUCCUGACACUCAAAGGCAUGUAAUCUGAAACCGUCAUUUUCCUGGUAAGAGGCAAGCCUAGGUAUCUUACUGGGAGCUGUCCAACUGCAAAAGGAAAAUUCGCAAGAAUGGCGUGUUGAGUCUCCUGUGAGAUGCCAGCCAUGUAUAGUGUUGAUUUCUCUAGGCUGAUUUUUAAACCCGAAAGUCUGGCAAAUUCCUCAAACACCAGAAGAGUACCUUCCACCGACAUCUUCUACCCAUCUGAGAAUACCAUUAUAUCGUCUGCAAAGCAGAGAUUCGUCAAGGACACAUUCUUACAUCUUGGAUGAUAACCGAUCCUUCUGUCGGAAGCUGCUUUGUCCAGCAGCUUGGAUAGUACAUUCAUACAUAUCACGAAUAGAGAAGGCGACAGAGCACAACCCUGCCUCAAACCUCGAGUACUGAAGUAACCAGCCAGUUCUCCAUUAACCUGUAUAGAGAAUGAAGCUGUCGACACACAGAGUCUGACCCAAUGUAUAUAUUUUGCAGGGAAACCAAGAGCUUCCAGGGUUGUUAGGAGAAAAGGCCACUGCACAGAAUCGAAGGCCUUGGAGAUAUCAAUCUUCAUUGCACUUCUGGAUGAUAUCUCAGAUUUAUGAUAAUCUUUGACUAACUUAGUAACUAACAGGAGGUUUUCCAUUAGCAACCUAUCUUUAACAAAUGCAGACUGGUUAUUUGAUAUAAACUGUGGCAGAAUUCCCUUGAGGCGAUUUGCAAGCAGUUUAGAUAUCACUUUGUAAAGCACAAUACAACAUGAGAUUGGCCUGUAAUCUUUCAUCUCCUUUGCAUUCUCCUUCUUAGGUAUAAGUGUUAGGAUAGUGGAAUUGAUACCUUUCGGGAGAAAACCUUUAAGAAAGAAUGAUUGCACAGCAACGACUACAUCUUCUCCAAUGAUAGGCCAAGCCGCUUUAAAAAACUCUGGUGUGUAGCCAUCUGGUCCAGGCGAUUUGUUCGAUGGCAUUUUAAACACCACUGCUUUAAUCUCUUCUGCUGUGACCUCACUGGCCAGUCUCUCUUGGUCUCCUUCAGUACAACGAAACUGUAGCAAACUCUGUAGGUAUUCAACUGAAGGAGCUUCAUAAUCCACAGGUUUAUGGGUUAAGAAAUCAGUAAAAAACCUCUCUGCUUCUUUCUUUAUAUCAUCGUCAGUCAUGGCUAUACUUCCAUUCGGACAUAUCACCUCUCUGAUUGCAUUUCUUACUUCUCUUAUCUUAGCCGCAUUGUGGAAAUGUCUAUUAUUUCCAUCCCCCACUUCCAACCAAUGUAGCUUAGAUGUUUGUUUAUAGAACUCUUCUUCUAAAUCAGCAAGCUUUUGCCAUCUCUCCAACGCUUCACUCUCCUCUUUGAUAGCCUCAGAAGAUGGACACAUUAAGGUUUCUGUCUGCUUCUCACACAAAUGCUUAUAUGCCUCCUUUGUUUUUUUGGUAACUGCCCCAGCUUCUCUUUACUUAGAAUUCUCAAAGUAGGCUUAAGACCCUUUAAUUUUUUUCCCAACCGAUACAUAGCCGAAGUUGAAUGGAAUAAUUUUUAUGUUUCCCUCCAAUACCUCUCCACUGUUGGUUGGAAAUCUUCCAUUGUUGCUAUGACAUUCGUGAACUUAAAAGGUUUUCACUUCUUCUGUACUUCCAUUUCUAGAUGAAACCUACAUCUGAGCUGAUCAGAACACCCUCCUGAUUCAAAUACACUAUAAGCAUUUCGCAGACCAUGCAGAGCAGCAUCAUUCAUCAAUAUUCUGUCUAACUUUUUGCAUACUAGCCCCUCAUCCCUUUUAUUGCACCAAGUAUAAGUAGGACCAUGAAAACUCAUAUCGGUGAGAGUGCAAUAACUUACGGUGUCCUGAAAUUCUCUCAUUCCUGUGGUGAUGAUCGGAUUAUUAUCAUACCCUGAAUGCUCAUUUCCUUGUAAAAUCUCAUUAAAAUCACCAAAAACUAGCCAUUGUUUACCUCUAAACAUUGCUGAGUCUUUGUGAUUCCUCAAAUCUUCCCAUAACAUUCUUCUCUCCUCCAUAGUGUUCAGUGCAUAUAUAAAAGAACACAAUACUUCCUCUACUCUCCCCUCCAAGUUAACUGAACAUGCAAUCAUUUGGCUACUUUUAAAAACUGGAGUCAUCCUCACUGACGGCCCCCAAAGCACCCAUAUUCUUCCAAGAUAAUUGUACUCGUAAUUAGCCAUAAAUGACCAGUUUUGAAACGCUGAAUUUAAAAUAUUUCCUGCUUUACCUUCUUUUACUCUUGUUUCUAUAAGACUUCUAAACUGCAAUGACUGACUUCUCAACCACUCACGGACUACUGAAUGUUUAGUUGGUUUAUUAAAGCCGCUGGUGUACCAGAAGAACCCUGUCAUUGUGCUUUGCGAGAUUUCUUCUUUUUAUUCUGAUCACCAGGGCCAUCACCCCUAGCUCUUUGAACGGUCACACUCAAGAAUUUGUGCUUAUUUUUCGAACCCCUCGGCAAAUACUGUCUUGUGUUUAUUAUAUCUUCUUCAUUCUUAUACACUGAUUCCUCCAUUUCCAAAUCCUUGUCAUCUUCCAUAUCUUCAUCUUCUACUUUAUUUUCUUCCUCCAUAUCAUCUUUAGUCUCAGGUAUUUCACCUUCUUCCUCGUACGUACUUAGAACCGAGAACCUUGAUUUGGAUAGUAUAGAUACUUGUUCUUCUUUGUUUUUUUUUAUCAAACCAACUUUUAUAAAUAAAACUUAAACUCCAACCAUGGAGGAAUUGUUCAAGUACAGCAAAGCAACCAUACUGGUUAGAUAAACCGCUGCAUCAAAAGCUAUGCGGGAAACAAAAACACACUGGAUAGACGCAUACAUAGCACAUAAGCAACUUAAGAUAGAGAUACCUAAAGUGCUAGAAAGUGAGAUGAAGCCAUGGGAAUCAUAAGACACACACAGUGAACUACUGCCCGAACAAGCUGCAGCAUAAAAUGCAUGAAAGGCAGCAACAAAUUUGGCUAUAGAGGUGACCACGCACCAUCUUGAUGAGCCUGAAUAUAAAAAUGAAAUCCUCAGCAUUAAAGGAGCGUGAAAUUGUAUGAAACUCCACAGUCCGCCAACCAAAUCAGAAGCUAAAAAGCCAAGAUUGGUUUUUAUGAAAUCAUCUCCUAAUUUUCUAUAGCUUAUUCCUGAAAUGUUAGUUAAGAAAACCAACAUACAGAUAUAUUGCAAUGAACGUAAAAAGAGUAGAUUUACGACCUCAUACUGAGGUAAAUGGACCUCAUACUGAGGUAACAGAACCUCACCCUGAGGUAAGGGAAGGCUAAACCAAAGCCUAAAAACCUCAUACUGAGGUAAUGGAGGAUAUUGGGACCUUGAAUUUAGUUUAGUGAGACUUGAAGUGCAACAGAAACCAACCAAUUCUGACUCUAUCGAGGGAGUCACAAAGACCGUAUCUUUCAAAAAAAAUCCUAAGAGCAAAGGAGAGAAACUACACUUUCUCCAGUAGAACUAAACCCUGCAGACAGGAGUAUGGCGGAGCCAAGGCUUCACAAAGUUCACUCCUAAAGACACGAGCAACAAACAAGCUGAGCUAGAGGUCGUCGUACCAGAAACAAAAGGAGGCUCUGCAAUUUUGAGGGUGAAGGAGAACAGAUCCGGUGCACCAGAGUGGUCGGGAGGGUCGGGAAGGAUGGGAAGGUCCAGAGGAGCAAUCAUGGAUGCUAGAUCUAGAAGAAAAGUAACCGGCGGCGGCUCUGGAGGAGGAGGAAGGAGCAUAGGCGAACCGGAGAGACGUAGCACCAUGGAAGGAAAGAAGAGGAGAAAGAAAGGAAGAGGAGGAAGAAAGAAGAAGGUUCUCGUCGGUGAGCGAGAGGCCACACCGACGGCAGUGGAUCAAUUUAAAACCCUAAUCUGCCUCCAUAGAUACUUGUUCAAAUUCUAGUUGUUUGCUCUUUAUUGGUGUGCGACUCACUUUCCCUGGAGAGAUUUCCACCCAAAAUUUUUCCUUAUCAAUCACUGCUGUCUUUAUAUUAUCUUUCCCACAACUUCUUUUCUCCCUUUCAACUGAGCCAGCCAACUUGUCAACCUGCUUUCCUGCAACUCCAGUAACCUUUUCUUUUUCUGCUCCCACGACUGAAUCCACAACACCAGCCACUAGACCAACUACAUAACCAGAUACCAAACCAACAACUGAGUCUGCCACUAAACCAUCCACCUCACCAUUAACUAGACCAACCACUGACCCAGAUACUGAACCAGCCACUGAAUCUGCCACAUAACCAUCCACUGAGCUUACCACUGAACCCACUACCAAACCUUCCACUGGAACAUCUCUUCCCUCUGAACUGACCGUUUUGACAACUUCCACUGAGUCUUUAACUGAAUCUAUACCUCUGCUAGUUUUCACCAACUCUUCUUCUUCCAUAGUCUCAUCAGCUAUCCUCUUUCCUCUACACACUCUUGCUAAAUGACCCCAUUUUCCACAAUAUGUGCAUUUAUUUGGGAGCCACGGGUAUGAAUACUCUACCAGAGUGUCCUUCCCUUGUAAGUUGAAGUUCAUCAAUUUAGGCAGCUGCUUGGAUAAAUCCACCUUCACAAAUAUUUUUGCCACUUUCAGAUUCUCGCACUGCUCUGUCUCUGGAUGUAGCCGAACUGGUAUUCCCACUUGACUUGAUACAAAACUGAGACCCUUCCACGAAUACAUCUCCAUUGGCACAUUCUUCAAAUGGAUCCACAGCGGAAUAGAGUGUGUUUCUUGUUUAAUAUCCUCUGUCAACAGUGACCACUUCGCCAUGACUACCGGUAUCUCUGCAAUAUUCCACAUCGACCUUCUCAAGAUUCUGUUUCGAAUAAUAGGAUUACUCACCUUGAACUUCAUAGUUGUUGAAUUAAUCACAUGAACAUCAAUCAUCUGCGACUUGUAGCUCAAUGCCCAGAUUUUGUUGACUAUCGCGUGAACUUUCGCGAUGUCUGGAGCCUUAUCUAGGAAUCUCCCAAUGAUAAAAUCUUCCCAUAGAGGAGAGGCAUCCGUGAAUACUUCCUCCGGUACAGUCACAGAUCCGAUCCCAUCCAUCAUCUGAAUAUCCAUAUCGUACUUCUUUAAGACCUUCUUCCCUUGAACAGCGUUAACCCACGAUCGCGGUUUCAAUCCUUCCAAACCUCCUUGAUCCCUCUCUUCUCGAUCCUCCAUGUUUGACCCCUUGUUACCUCGAUCAUCCUCCGGAGAGUUCACUGGAAGAUCCCGAUCCCCCAUUGGAGACCUUGAUCUAGAACCGGCAGAGAUCUCUGUGAAGUUACCCUCGAAACCUAAGUCGCCUUCAAAAUCGCCUAAAUAGUGUCACUCCGAAACAGUGCGUUUUAAGAACAUUUCCGAUAUUACUUGAUUUCCAAUUUUAUGUAUGUGUGAUUUGCAAUUUUCAGUCACAAUGCACUAUUUGUCAUUAAUUAAUCUCUUGCGCCACAUUUUAUACACGAUUGAAUCACAUCAACUAAUUCAAUCGUUGCAUUUUUCUAUGCAAAAACAUUUAUUAAUAUCUUGAACUAAAAUUUGUAUGAAAUGAUUGAAUCACAUCAUCCGUUGCAUUUUUAUUGUAUUUUUCUAUGUAAUCACAUUUUUAAUCAUAACAGUUUCAAUUGAUAACAAAAUUAAUCCUGGUAAUCAUCACAGUGCAUCAGCUAAAACAGAUAUCACACAUCACAUAAAGCAUCAGCUUCACAGGCACAAAUAAAGAGACCAAGAUUAAACAAGCAAUGGCUAACAUUUUUCACCAAUUGAGCCAAGUGAGAAAGGGUAGCAACUCCGUACGGUCUGCUCAGAAAAGCAUAAUAACAGAUAAAGAGGAAGACUUGGUAAGGGAAAACCGGAAAAUUGUAUAAAGCAUUGCUAUUUUGAUACAACAAAUUGUCUUAAAAUGAAACAUCAUCAUUACACUCUUAGUCUCAAACAUAUCCAUAUCUUUGAGCUUCUAAAUAAAUAAAGGAAAUAACACGGCAGUAGAUAUUGGAAACCAAGAAAGCAAAAGAAUCAGAUGAACUGGAUGUUGUUGCAAUUUGAUGAAACUAUGGGGAGAGUUAACAAAUUUUCAACGAUCAUUCUCGCUCUCUCUUGUUGCUCUGUAAUAAUACGGUCAAACUAAUCAGUGAAAGAUCACCACAUAUCUUUGCAUAUUCUCAUUCAGCAUGUGGACUUAUUCGGUCAAUAAGCGUUUACACGCUAGUUCUUGGUCUAACCACCAAGAUCACAUCAACAGAUCCCAACCGGUCCAUUCCCUUUUAUCCGCACGUCAGCAUCGUCAGCAUCGCGUGGCUCACGCUUUUCCUUGUCCAAAUCUCCGUCGGUUUAGGCCUGGGAGCGAACGUAACUUCUUGAGCAGGCUAGUGUUUUUCUUUGGUAUUCACGAGGUAAUGCUUGUGUGGUGUAGGGUGAUCGUGAGACCGGUGGUGGACAGCACGAUGAUGGGAGGAGAGGCAUGUCAUCACCGGAGAGAAGAGACUGUGGUGGAGAGAGUGGCUUUGGCCGUGAGCUGUGGGAAGUUGUGGUGGUGGAAUUUCGAUCGGGAUGAAGUAGAGGCUUUGGUUGGUGUGGCUGAGGCUAAAAGAGCGUUGUUGCUGUUAUUACCAAUCAGUGGUAAUAAUGUUAACGUUGGUUUGGAAGUGGGAAUGGUUGAUUUUGUGAAUGGGUGGUUAUACUAUAUAGUUGUCACGAUCGGUAUGGUUAGGAUCGUUAAAGGGUCUCUAUGGUUUGGACUAUGAUUUGCAAUAUAUUGGUUUGUACACAACAGUACACAAGGUCAUUCGACAUCAACCAAAGUUACUCAGACUACACAACUUCAGACUUUCUACACGGCCCCUCUAAUCCUGACCACAAAUCCUCAGCCUCUAAAACCACAAAACCUCAGACCCUAUUGACCACAGGUUCUGAGCUUAAUUAACUAAUCACAACUUCCAUCCCCUAGUUCCUAACCUAACCACAACAAAAAAAAAUUCAAAUUCUUUUGUUUUUGGUUUCUUGAUGUUUUUUGUUCUGUAAAUUUUAAAAAUUCCAUUAGUAUCUGUUCUUGACCACAACUAGCAAAAACCAUCUUUUAGCCUAUUAUCCAUGAUCCACCUUCAACUUAACUGUCUAUAAGAGCUGAAAGAAAAGCAAAAACAAGAAGAAGCAACUUCAAUCUUAGGCUUCUAAGAAGAAGCAAACGUGUUUAGGAUGUUUCUCUUGAGAGUGAGUUCCUCAGCUUUCAGCGGACUUGUAGACUGCACAGGAAAACACAGUUAGAAAAAAAUGUCAAUACAAAAGUCUUACUGUUUCUCGAUUGCAAAGCAAUAAUCUAAUUACUAAGGACUGAGAGGAAGAAGAAGAAAUGAUGUUUAGACCUUGCUAAUGAGUCGUCCAAGCAGCUUAGCUUCUUUGGUAGCAUAGCCUGAACCAUUUUCUGUGUACUGCUUUGCAAGUGAGGUGUAAAGCAUUCCAUACCUAUUUUAUAUAUACAAAAAAAAAACUUUACCAUUCAAGUGUAACUAUAAAACGCUAAUACUACAACAUACCUUGCUGUGGAGCCCUUAAGGUUGCCAGCUUCCUCUUCGAUGCGAGACAAGAUUGCCUUCUUCUCAUCUUCACUGGCUGCAACUAGCUCCUUUACCAACGUGUCUAAGCUUUCCACUAUACCAGCCUAUCAAACAAGAGAGAUGAAUCAACAAAAGCUUUCAAACCUUAGAUAGAAAUUGCAAUACUAAGAUAGAAACAUGUUUUUUUAAACCUUUGAGGUAAGCUUCCCUUUGCUGUCUCUGCCGGUUCCAACUUUCUCGUUGAUGAAGCUUACAAAUUCAUCUAAGUUCCUUCCACCAUCAUACUCCUGACCGGUUUUGUUGUCCUUUGGGAAGAACUUUAAGGUUGGGAAUCCACUUACUCCAUACCUGUGGGAACAAAAUGAAGGUUAGCGGUUUUCAUCUUUAGUAUUCUACAAAUUUAAUACAGCGAUAUCCAUCGAUGAGUAAAAAAUAUUACUUCUCGCCAAGGCUUUUGUGAGCAUCAGUAUCCAACUUGGCUAUGACCACACCUUCUUCAUGCUUAAACACCUCGGCUACCUUUGUAUACACGAGGGACUUGCACUGGCCGCACCUGGAAGAUUUAAAACUAAGAAAUUAGAAAAACGGCAUGGAAGAAAGCAAAACCAUGAGAGUGAAGGGAAGAGAUAGAUAGUAGUAGUACCCUGGGGCAUAAAACUCGACCAAGACAUCUUUGUUCUGAUCCAGUACAAUCUCAUGGAAGUUAUCAGGUGUUAAGACAACAACAUUCUUCUUCUUCUGGUACUCACGAAAUUCAUUUAUCUUGCCAAGCCAGAAGUUUUCGUACGCAAUCAUAUUCUCGCUACUCUCAAGGUGUUCCUGUGCCUUUUGGCCAGCUUCCUCUGCUAACUUAGCCCACGAUUCGGCCUCGGCCGUAUUCCCUUUUUCACGGGCAUCCCUUGCUUCGGCUUCAUAUUUCUUCUUCCUUUCUACUUGAGCCAGAUAUUUUUUCAUCUCCUCUUGCUGAUUAACAACACAGUAUGUGGGGUGGUAAGCCCUCAAAAACUUCAAGAGCUCUGAUUCAUCUUCAAAAGCGUCCACGUUGAUGUCUGGCAACUCAGAUUUUUGCGGUUUGUAUGAGAAUCCCCUCAUCUGCAUCGAUGGAGCCAUCAUCUUCAGCUGCAUCAUCUUUCCUCUGGAGGAAGGAGUUGACACGACACCAGAUUUAGCUGAGCUACCACUCCCCCACUUAGCUGUUUCUCGACCUGAAUCCCCUCUGAAGAUCAGUUACAUAAGACAAUGUUAAGAAUGUGUAUAUAUGGAAAAAGGUAAAAUAAUUAAUUACAGAAGCGAACUUACUUUGCUGGUUUGCUCCAACUUCAAGCCCUUCAAUAGCACUCUUGAAGUCUUCAAGAUGGUUCCCGACAUCUUCCUCAAACUUCUCGUGGAUCAUUCUCAUAAUCUGUUGAAGCGUUACAGAGCAUCCCCUUGAUCCACUGUUGAGAUUUGUCUCGAUACCGAGCUUUUGGUGUGAUGUUCCUGUCAACAAGAGAUAUAGCGUUUAGGCAAAGACUUUUUUCUCAAAAGCUCUCUUGCCAAUCUAGCUUUGAUACUUUCUCUACACAAGUGCUCUAUCGUAAAUGAUUAUGUUUCGCAGCAGUUCUUCAACGUUAUGAUUCGUUAUAGGGAAAAGCUAGAAAGGAAGACAGAAGUGAACAUACUUUGUUUCUUAAUGCUUCCUUUCAACUCUGAGUGGUUUGCUUCAAGCCCUCCAAUAGCACUCUUGAAGUCUUCAAGAUGGUUCCCGACAUCAUCCUUAAACUUUUCAUGGAUCAUUCUCGUUUUCUCUUGUUGCUCUGUAGUAAUACGGCCAGACUAAUCAGUGAAAGAUCACCACAUAUCUUGCAUAUUCUCAUUCAGCAUGUGGACUUAUUGACGAAAACUCUUAAGACAAGCCAGACACGCAAGUUGUAUAAUUCUACUCCCCUUAUAGGAAUUGAGCAUAUAGCUCUGUUUUGAGGAACUACGUGAAUAGUCAGUUUUGUAUCGAUAAAAGAACCUAAAUCAGAGGUAUAUAUAUCAUUGAUCACUGAACAAUAUAUGGGUGGAUAGUGUACAAAAUACGGUACUAGAAUGAAGCAAGAGUUAGUUAGUGUCGACCUUGAAUCAUCACAGUAUGAUUGAGUAAAAUGGAAAGGUUAUACACUACAGUGAUCAAGAUAUGAUGUACCUUGUGGUCUUGUUUCAGCGGGUUCUCUCUUAGUUUUGGCUACGUUACUCCUCGUCUUUUCCCUGUUGAGAUUUGUCUCGAUACCUCCUUCAAAAUGCGUGAUGAGCUUUUGGUGUGAUGUUCCUGUCAACAAAGAGAUGUAGCCUCAAGUGAGUUUAGGCAAAAGACUUGUUAUGGUGUUUACGCAAAAGACAUGUUAUGGUGUCACCACAUAUCGUGGAUCAUUUUCUCUUGUUGCUCUGUAAUAAUACGGUCAAACUAAUCAGUGAAAGAACACUACAUAUCUUGCAUUGAAGACAACUCAACACUCUCAAGACAAGCCAGACACGCAAGUGUAUAAUUCUACUCCCCUUACAGGUAUUGAGCAUAUAGCAUUUUGGCAUGAGUAAGAAUUAAUGAUAAUAGUAAGUUUCGUAGCAAUAUGAGAGAACCUACCAAAUGUAUACAUAUCAUCUAUUAUCACUGAAUCAGGAGUAGACCACUAAGACAGUAUGUUUUGGGUAAAAUACAAAAGUUAUAAGCUCUUGUUGUACCUAGUGGUCUUGUUUCAGCAGGCUCGCUCUUAGUUAUGGGUACGUUACUCCUCGUAGAUUUCAGCUUUUUCUCAAAGUUUUGAAGCGCAACAGCCCUGAGACAUGGCAUAUUAAGUAAUCAAAUUAAGACCAAGGAAAGGAGACAUAAUAAUAAUUAAGGUAGAAGAAAAUAAUAAUAAUAAUAAUUAAGGUAGAAACGUAAUAUUAGUUAAGUCUAAUAAAAAGAGACCUUCCCAAGCCGGCGGCGAGGGGAUGCUUUCUAGGAAGAUCGACAAGUCCUCUGCCGUUGUAACCGUUUAUAUUCAUCCACUCCGGGUAAAUGUUUUAUAUACGUCCAUGUACUUCACCAAUUUAGAGAGACUGAUCCAAGACUUGAGGCGAGGGUAUGUUUUGGGAAACAGCUGCGGAACGAGACUCUUCGGAGAAGGAUAGGCCGAGAACAAGGGCCAGUGCUCUGCUUCACGACGUAAACAAACAUCAGCACCAAUAUUCAUCCAAAACUCAGAAGGGAAAAACAAAAAAAAUAGAUCUGAUUACUUGUAGCUUCUGGUAGUGGAGGAGAGACUGGCGGUUAUAGUAGGGAGAGCCGUCGUUAGGGAUUUUAGCUGCGCCGGCGGCGAGGGGAUGCUUUCUAGGAAGAUCGACAAGUCCUCUGCCGUUGUAACCGUUUAUAUUCAUCCACUCCAAGACUGAUCCAAGACUUGAGGCGAGGGUAUGUUUUGGGAAACAGCUGCGGAACGAGACUCUUCGGAGAAGGAUAGGCCGAGAUCUUGAGAACAACCGCGAUAGCGUAGAUGCCAUCAUCUUUGGAUUUUACAAGAGAAAAAAAAAAAAAAAAAAAAAAAAAAAAAAAAAAAAAAAAAAAAAAAAAAAAAAAAAAAAAAAAAAAAAAAAAAAAAAAAAAAAAAAAAAAAAAAAAAAAAAAAAAAAAAAAAAAAAAAGAGUAUGAGGAUGAAGAAGCGCUAGAGAGAGAAUUGGAGGGGAUGAAGAAGAGCUAGAGAGAGAAUUGGAGGGGAUGAAGAAGCACUAGAGAAAGUCACCGACCUUGGGAGCAGAUAUAUAUAGAGAGAGAGAGAGUGUGUGUGUGUAGGAGAGAGAGACGGUAAAACAAAUAAUCACAUAAUUAAGACAUGCCGCAUGUUUCAUAUGAUUUGAAAAAUAAUGAAACAAUCCCUAUGCUAGUACUAAUUAAUACUACUACUAAAAACAUUUUAGUUAUCCAAUUACUAAUCAGUAUAUAGUGGGGACCACUGAGAGAGAGUGUGUGUGUACGUACGCGGAGAGAGGAAACCACAGAGAAAUUUUUGUUAUUUUCUUCCCCGACACAGGGACCCACGUAAUACUUCCUUAGGGAUUCGAAAUUUGUUAUCCGUCUAGUGUUAUACCCUAAAUACAACCAGUGACGAGCCUUCAUAUUUGCAUGUCACGUAAUUGAUCCCUUUGUUUCAGUUAUAUUCAACAAACAGGACAUUCUUUCAUUCAAUAUUCAAUAACAUCCAUAAUGUUUGUUAUUCACAUACAUAAUAUACUUUGUUCACUAUAUAUAGACAAUUUUAAUUUGUAAUUUUGAAAAUAUGUGAAUAAGAGAAACAAAAAAAAUCUAAACCCACACCAAUAACCAAGUAUGGAAAUACGUAGGUCCCAUAAGAUCUCCAAAUGAACCAUUCUUAAAACACUGUGGUGGUAUAUAACGACAAUAUUUAGAUUCUACAAUUUUGAUAAUGCUGAUUACAAAUAUGAUGCGUUAACCGCAUCUCGAGACCGUUAUUCCGAUUACAAUUUUGAUAACGACAAUAUUUCCAUUCUUUUAUCACGUUUGUGAGUUCUUUUCGUGGUCCGUUAUUUUGUUAAUUAAUUUAACAUAAUCAUGAUUACAAACAUGCGCGCGCGUUAACCGCAUCUCGAGACCGAACUAAUUUUAUAUUUCAAGGGUUUUAUCUCUUUAUUUUUAUGUCACAUAUAGAUUUAUACCAAAUGGAAUGAGAUGCGGAGCAAAUAAGCACGUUAUAGUUUAUAUAUAAAGCUUUGAUUCUAAAAAGGCAAAGAGUCAGACCUGUAUCGAACAACAACUAUGCAUUACAUGUGCGGGUUAAAGAUAUGAUAUCUAAUCAACCAAAAGGACUAUUGAAAUCAAAUAUUAAGAGAUUAAAAUGUUUUUUUUUUAACUAAAAUUUUCAAGAUUAAAAUGUUUUUAUUUUCAUUUUUCUUUUCAGAUUGUGUGUAAGAUUAAGAUAUGAAGCACCAAGGUGAGAUGAGUCUAUAAAUUAAUGUAUAGCUGCUCUACUUGAUUUUCUGGGAAGAUGUUAUGAUAAACGGAGAGAGAAAGUUGUACAUCCAUUCCAUUUCAUAUUUUGUAUGUAUAGUUCUAUAUAGGAGUGUGUGUGUGUACGCGGAGAGAGAAAGUUGUACAUCCAUUCCAUUUCAUAUUUUGUAUGUAUAGUUCUAUAUAGGGCUGAGCAAAAAAUCCGGAUCCGAAGAACCGAACCGAAUCCGAUCCGAAAAAGUAGUAUCGAACCCGAACCAAAAUUGAUUAUAUAUCCAAACGGAUUCAAAAUUUUGGUAUUUAAAAAACCAAAACUGAACCCGACCCGAACUGAAGUAUUUCGGGUACCCGAUUAUAUCUGAAAUAGAUUUAUAUACCUAUAUAUAUUAAUUAUUUCUAAAUUUAAUGUAUAUUAGAAACAUUCAAAAUAUAUAAUAUACUUUUUAGUUGUUCAAAAUACUUGAAAAUAUGUACAAAUAGUCAAAAAUACAUGUCUACUAUAGCUAAACUAUACUCAAAACACUAAAAAUACUUAAAAUAUCUAUUGAUUCUUAAUUCAAAUAUUCAAACCAAACCAAUUUAUAUGUCGAUUUUAGGUAUUUUGACACGUGUUAUUCAAAUUUAUAUGUAAUAUAUUGUUUUGUUUAUAGAUUUUGAGAAACUUAAAGCAUAUAAUAAAUUUAAAAAAUUUAAAAGUAAUUUAAAUGGGCUAUCUAAACCCGAAUCGAACCCGCAAAGAUCUGAACCGAACCCGAACCGAAAUUUAGAAAUACCCGAACGCGACUAAAAUCUUUGAACCCGAAAACCCAAAAUCCGAAUAGAUCCGAACCGAACCCGAAUGGAUACCCGAACGCCCACCCCUAGUUCUAUACCAUAAUAUAUAAAAAAUAGAUUUGCAUAAGUAAGAUCGCAAAGAGAGAAAGUUGUAAAGUUGUACAUCGAUUCCAUUUCAUAUGACAUUUCUUUUAUCACGUUUGCGUUCACUAUAGACUUUUAAUUUGUAAUUUUUAAAAUUAUGUGAAAUAAGAUAAUUGGAGGGGAUGAAGAAGCGCUAGAGAGAGAAUUGGAGGGGAUGAAGAAGCGCUAGAGAAGAAAGUCACCGACCUUGGGAGCAGAUAUAUAUAGAGAGAGAGAGAGUGUGUGUGUGUGGGGGGGGGGAGAGAGAGACGGUAAAACAAAGCAAGACAAAGAUCAUAAUUUCUCAAAUAAUCACAUAAUUAAGACAUGCCGCAUGUUUCAUAUGAUUUGAAAAUUAAUGAAACAAUCCCUAAGCUAGUACUAAUUAAUACUACUACUAAACAUUUUAGUUAUCCAAUUACUAAUCAGUAUAUAGUGGGGACCACUGAGAGAGAGUGUGUGUGUACGUACGCGGAGAGAGGAAACCACAGAGAAAUUUUUGUUAUUUUCUUCCCCGACACAGGGACCCACGUAAUAUUUCCUUAGGGAUUCGAAAUUUGUUAUCCGUCUAGUGUUAUAAGACUCCAUAAAUACAACCAGUGAUGAGCCUUCAUAUUAGCAUGUCACGUAAUUGAUCCCUUUGUUUCAGUUAUAUUCAACAAACAGGACAUUCUUUCAUUCAAUAUUUCUUAACAUCCAUAAUGUUAUUCACAUACAUAAUAUACAGGUAGACGUAGAUUCCAUUUCAUAUGAGAUUUCUUUUUAUCACGUCUGUGUUCGCUAUAGACAAUUUUAAUUUGUAAUUUUGAAAAUAUGUGAACAAGAGAAACAAAAAAAUCUAAACCCACACCAAUAACCAAGUAUGGAAAGACGUAGGUCCCAUAAGAUCUCUAAAUGAACCAUUCUUAAAACACUGUAGUUCUAUACCAUAGCCCAUAUAUAAAAGUUAGAUAUAAAAAAGAAAUUUUGCAUACAAAGAGAGUAUGCCAUUACAAACACAGAAAGACAAUUUUUAAAAGCUAAACUUUUCUUUUUUUAUAUACAUUACACUCCUCUCUUUGCUCUCUGCUUUUUACAUAACACGAACGCUAAUAUGAAUCAAAUUUGUAUAGUAGUAAUACCCCUAAACAUGUCUCCUAAAUCUCUAUUAUCAUAAGCGGCUUAGUUAAAAUCCUUUUGUGAAAAAAAAACAUAACUAAUAGUUAUGGCUAAAACAUUGAACAAGACAUCUUUUGCUUUCCAAUAAACAUAAAGAAUUUUCAAAAUUUUAAAAGAAUGAAUUGAUAAAUAAAUAAAAAUUUACAAUCUCUUUGCCCUCUACUUUAUUGGCUCGUCAGAUAAAUAUUAAGGGUUGUGAAAAAAAGAUACGAAAUGAUGCUAAUUUGUCUCUUUUGGGAGCGACUGACCUAUGUGGCGUACCUAUGUAUGUGUGUAAACUCAAACAUAUGUGAUCGUUAACGCUUCAUUUACUUUGAAGAGGUCGGACGUCACGCGUUUCCUGUACCACAAGUACCCAAUAUUAUAUAUGGUAGGUAGAUUUAGUAUAAUUAAUUAUUACCAACAACGAUGUUAAAAUAUUGUAGAUAUUUUUAAAAUUAGAUAUUUAUACUGAUAUUACUCCAAAAUGUGUUUAAGUUUGGCUUCAGAUGACGAAACGAAGAUACGGCUUGUGACAAGUAAGAAAGAAAUUUUAUUAUGUCUAGUAUUUUGAAUACAAAAGCAUUAUAUUAUUUUGUACGUAUAGUUCUAUACCAUAAUAUAUAAAAAGAAAUUUUGCAUUAGUAAGAUCGCAAAGAGAGAAACAAUCAUGAAACAAUCCCUAAGCUUCUUUUAGUACUAAUUAUUAGACAUACAUUAAAAAUUCAAUUACUAAUCACUGAGACAAGACCACGUCGUUUGUCUCUCACGUGACAAGAGGUACUAUGUCUAGUAUUUUGAAUACAAAAGCAUAAUAUUAUUUUGUAUGUAUAGUUCUAUACCCAUAUAUAAAAGUUAGAUAUAAAAAAGAAAUUUUGCAUACAAAGAGACUAUGCCAUUACAAACACAGAAAGAAAAUUUUUAAAAGCUGGACUUUUUUUUUAUAUAUACAUUAUACUCCUCUUUUGGCUCUCUGCUUUUUACAUAACACGAACGCUAAUAUGAAUCAAAUUUGUAUAGUAGUAAUACCCCUAAACAUGCGGAGACACGCGUCUUCUAGCCCUUGUUACCCCGCCGUCUGAGACUUUCCUUAUUUGGCUUACGGCUUGUGACAAGUAAGAAAGAGGCGUGACCAUUUUUUUAAAGAGAACAAAACAAUGUGAAAAGAAGAUGAUAGCUCAGAACAUUAAAUUAAGUGAGACAAAACGUCUAGUUUCUCUGUCUCAAAAAUAUCACACACUUUCUGCCAGUGGUCCCGGUCAAAAGUGACCAUAAAACCCAUUAUAUAUGAACCAACGAAAAAGUCAGAGAAAUUCGUAUAUUUAAUAUUAAACAUUCCUAGAACACACGCUUUAACAUAAACGACAAUGUAUUACUCUAUCUCUUUCCAAAUAUAUGAUGUUUAGGUAGAAAUACACAUAUUAAUAAAGCUAUUUUUUCUAGAAAUUAUCAUUAAAACUAUAAAUUAAUAGUAUUUAACCAAUUACAAAAUAGACUAUUAAAAUAUGAUUGGAUGCACAGUUUUUAAUAAAAUAAAAGUUACCUAGAAAAACGAAAACAUCUUAUAUAUUGGAACAUCAAAAUUCUGUAAAACAUCAUACUUUUAGGAACAGAUGGAGUAUGUUAUUUAUAUCGUGCGGGUUCGGGUGGGGUCCACUGAUCGGGCUCGGUUCAGAUUUCGUGGGGUAGGAGUACUCAAAGUAUUAAAUAUUUAGAUUUAGUAGUGUACUUAGAAUUUAUCAGUUCGGAUUCGGUUAGAUCCGAGUCGAUUCGGAUCUCAGAUAGUUGGAUCCAAUAAAAUAAUUAGAAUUUGUCGGUUCGAAUUCGGAUCAGAUUCGGUUUAGGUUAUGUCGGGUCCUAUUUUCGAAAAAAUUCCAAAACACAAAAGAUACCCGAAAAUAUACGAAAUUUAAUCCAAAAUCUGAUAAAACAUGAAAAAUAUCGACUUGAAAAAGGAAAUGAAGUCAAAAGAAGGGUUUAGUGGAGUUUUGGUCUUGUGCAAAGUUAGGACACGACCUCCGGAGAUUGUCUGUCAAGAUUUCAGAAGAGUUAAGGAGAAUUCAUGAAUGUCCAGAAGCAUCCAAAUCAAGCGUGCAAAGUUAGGGUCAAGUCCAUGAGGGACUUAUACAUCAUUUGGAGUCAGUUGGGCGAUGGUGCAAAUAUAAGGUCAACCACAUUCGGAUUCAGAUCGAUUCAGUUUGGUCAUGUCGGGUCCGAGCCCAAAAAAUAUCCAAACCACACAAAAAUACAUGAAAAUAUUUAAAUAUCCAAAAUAUCCAAAAUUUAUCCAAAAUAUGACCCGAAAACAUGAAAAUGCUGACUUAAAGAAAGAAAUGGAGUUAAAAGAGGAGUUUGGGUCUUGUGCAAAGUUAGGUUGUCUGCCAAGAUUUCAAGAAAGUUUAGGAGUGCUCAUGAGUAUCUAAAUGGGUGUUCAAAGUUAGGGUCAAGUCUAUGAGAGACUUAGACAUCAUUUGUCAGUUGGGUGAUGGUGCAGAGAUAUAUAUGGUCGACCUAAUAAAAAUAAUCAAAUUUUUAUCUGAUUAUCGGAGUUAUAUUUUUAGAAAUCUAAAAUUUUACCUAAAACAUAAAACCCAAAACCAUAUGCACUCAAAUCCAAAACUUAAAAAAUAAUCGUAAUACCAAAAUAUAUUGAAAUACCUAUAUAUACGUGAUAUAUAGUAGAAGUCUCGGGUACUUCAUCAUGUCUCAGAUUCGGAUUGGGUCGAGUCGAAGACCCGCAGAUCUUUCAAAACAAGAUCUGAUGGGGUUAGAUGACAUUAUUCGUAGCUGAUCCAAACCGAUCUUUUUGGGAUCAAUUUCAGUUCGGUAUUUAGAUCCGGAUAAAAUGCCCAAAACCUAAAUUUAUUAUGAUGUGUGUAUACGAGAGAGAGGACAAGAAAAAGAAAAAAAAAUCAACAAAGCUGACACAUACAUCUUUGAACUCUACGCACGGUUACCUAGGCUUUCCGAUUUUGGCUUAGAAUUUGUGACAACUAAGAACGUGAGACUUGCGAGUGUGACCACUCUGGUAUCAUAAUAAAAUAAUGUGUGAGGAGACAACUUCUAGUAUCUCUGUCUCAGUUAAUGAUCCGGGUCAAAUAUCAUUCAAUAAAACCCAUAUACGAGUAUAUAUGUAUGUAUAUUUUUUGAGGAAAAUAUGUAUGCAUAUGCUAUGGCCUAAAGCUGACACGUUUGAGUGUGUAAUUAAUUAAACGAAAAUCAACAGGAAGACCCUCGUUUUGCUUGCAGAUAAAGUAAAAAACUUUUUCUAUGAUCUUUCUUUUAUUGAUCUUAAUGAAGUUUGAACUAGUAUAAUUGUUUUUAAGAAUAAAUAAUCACAUGAGAUUUCUUUUAUCACAUUCGUGUUCACUAAAGACUUUUAGUUUGUAAUUUUUAGAAAAAUAGGUGAAUAAGAAACAAAAAAAAGUAGGUUUUAGCAAAACAUAAAAAAAAAUAUGUGGGGUAUAAACUAUACCAAGAACCGAACGCCUAGACGACGGUCCCAUAAAAUCUUUAAAUGAAACAAAACGCUUUAAAUAACGACAAUGAUUUUACUAUCUGUUAACUAAAGGAUAUAACUAACAUUUUACUUUUUCUUUAAAAGUUUUAUCAAACAAUAGUGACGUCGUCCAUCCAUCCGUAUUGUCUCCGUUUGAACAUUGAAGGUCCCCCCAUGUGUUACUUUUUCUUUUGAAAAUCUUCUGUAUUUUUCAUAUACUUAUUAUUUUGGUCUGAUAGUCUUUAUAGUUAGUUCCCAAUAAAAAAAAUUUCUGUAUUUUUCAUUAUUAUUCUUUUUGGUCUGAUAACAUGAAAAGUGGGCAGGGCACCGUAUGGUUUGUGAGUUCUUUGCGUGGUCCCUUAAAUUGUUAUUUAGAAGUGCGAGAUCCCUUAACUCCUUGAUCGCCGGAAAAUUAACCGGAAGUUCGAAUAUGCUCUGAGUGAAGGAGAAGAGAGAGGCGGGCAGAUUGAAACUUUUUCGAUUUUCGCAAAUGGUUAAACAUAAACCUUCCUUUAGCUGAAUUUGCAUGUGUACGGACGCAGACAAGUUGACGCUUUUAACCCUAUUAUCCAUGCCUCUCCUCCUCCUUGUACUCAACAGAUUGAGCUUGUUUCUUAUCUCCUUAUCAAUGAGUUUCUUCAAAAUGGAAAUAGGCAUCAGCUUCUCCCCAUAUCGAACAUUAUUCCUUACCCUCCAUAUAGCAUAGACAGCAGCUUAAAAGGCGUAUCUUAUGCAGAAAAUACUCUUCUUAUCAUAACCCCCACUCGAGAUUAUCCUCACCAUUUCAGACCAACCAUUUGUGAAAGCAUUACCCAAAAUACCUUUUACGAGAUGUUCCCACAGCUGCGUAGCAUAAGAACAUUCGAAAAAUAAGUGAUUUAGAGUCUCCACAUCAGUCUUGCACAACACAUAGGUAGUAUCUGUCCCCUGGCUCCACCUCGAUACCCUGCCCAUGGUGGAUAAUCUUCCCCUCAUGGCUAACCAUGUCAUGAAUGCAUGCUUAGGUGUAGCCAUUGAGAACCAAGUCCCUCGUGUCCAUAGACAUUGCACACUUGUCCCCCUUAACAACAUCCAAGUUUCAUUUGUUGAGAAAAUCUCUCGAUACCCCGACCUCCUCCUCCAGAUACUGACAUCCAUCUUCUCACUCUGAAUCUUACUUCUCACAGAUUCAAGAGCCUCCUCUAUCUCUCGCAAAACCUCUGAUCUAUGUUGUCUUCUCCGUCUUAAAUUCAGCACCGCUUCCUCCAGAGUGGCUUCCUUUCUUAUACCCAAAGCAAUAAACCCUCUCUCGCCCGCAAGAUCAAAUAUCACACCCUUUUCAGACCAGCAAUAAUACCAAAAAGAGAUGCGUCUCCCACUGCCAAUUUCUAAUAUGUAGAAUGUCUUCGCUAUCUCUCUAAGCUUCAACAUCUUCCUCCACAUCCAUGAACCCACCUGAGAAUUUACUUUCACUUCUUAAAAGCUUCUCUUCUUUAACAAAUAUUCUUUAAUCCAUUUUCCCCAUAAAGAAUCUCCUGCAAGCAUCCACCAUAUAAGUUUCAAUCCAUACACCGUAUUCACCUCUUUCAAAGCUCUAACUCCAAGACCUCCUUCAUUUAAAGGUUUACAUAUCUCACUCCAAGCCACCUUAGCUCCUGAAGAUUUUAAAGCUGGUCCAGACCAUAGAAACGAUGCACACAGUUGCUCCACCUCCUUUAUACAUUUACUAGGUAGUCUAAAGACAGAAGCCCAAAAAUUAACAAUACUGACCAUCACUGAUUUUAACAGCUGAAGCCUCCCCGCAUAAGAAAGAAACCGAGACGUCCAAGAACAUAUUUUACUUCUGAUUCUUUCUAUCAACGGUAGAUAAUCAUGUCUUCUCAUUGAUUGAGUUAUAAGUGGCAACCCCAGAUAACGAACCGGUAGAGAACCCUCUGCGAAUGGAAAAUUUACCAAAAUUCUCCUCUUUUCGUCCUCUUGAAUACCAGCCAUAUAAACCGUCGACUUCUCAAUACUGAUACUCAGGCCCGACCAUUUGGCAAAACCAUCAAACACAGACAAUGCUCCCUCAAUAGACUCUUUCGUUCCUUCUACAAACACCAUUAGAUCGUCGGCAAAACAUAGAUGAGUAAGAGAAAGAUUUUUACUCUUAGGAUGAAACUGAAACUUCCUCUCAUGCACUGCCUUAUCAAUCUUCUGUGAUAACACAUUCAUACACAAAACGAAGAGAUACAGAGAGAGUGAGCAACCCUGCCUCAAAACCCUCUUGCUUUGGAAAUACCCUGCAAGCUCGCCAUUCACCUGAACCGAGAACGAAGGAGUUGAUAUACACAGCUUUAUCCAAUGUAUAAACCUUUCUGGGACCCCUAUUGCUUCCAGACUAUUGAGUACAAAACACCAUUGCACAGAAUCAAAUGCUUUCGAUAUGUCUAUCUUCAUCACACAUCUCGGCGAGACAGUCUCCUUUCGAUAUGCUCAGUAGCUAACAUGACAUUAUCCAUCAACAGUCUUCCUUUCACAAAAGCAGACUGACACUCUGAGAUGACACGGGGAAGGAUCAACUUGAGUCUGUUUGCUAAAUUUUUUGAAACAACCUUAUAGAGUACGUUACAGCAAGCUAUAGGGCGGUAAUCUCUCAUCUCUAGCGAGUCUGUCUUCUUUGGAACAAGUGCCAGGAUUGUGGAGUUUACUCCUUUGGGAAGAAACCCAAACCUGAAGACAGAUUGAACAGCUAUAGUAAAAUCUUGAGCAACAAUGGGCCAAGUUAUUUUGAAAAACUCGCUUGGGAAGCCAUCAGGGCCAAGCGACUUGUUAGAUGGCAUAGCAAAGACCACUUUACGUAUCUCCUCAGCAGUCACAUGUUCCUCCAACAAACUACAAUCCUCUUCAGAACAACGAAACUUUAGCAGCUCUUCUAAUUCUUCUGAAGUAGCACCAGUGUAAUUAUCAGGAAACUUAUUGAGAAACUCUGAAAAGAACCGGACUGCUUCUUCUUUAAUAUCCUUCGGCUUAGUAACCGAACUCCCGUUAGAACAUCUUAUCUCUCGAAUAGAGUUUUGCGCCUUACGAACUCUGAUGGCAUUAUGAAACGUCUUAUUAUUAUGAUAUCCCACGUCAAGCCAAUGAAGUUUUGCCCUCUGCUUCAAAAAAAUCCUCUUCUAGACUAGCUACAUGAAGCCAACGCUCAUAAGCCACUGCUUCCUCUUGUAUGGAACUUGCACUCGGAUCAUCAAGAGUCUUCUUUUGUUUCUCACAGAGGAACUCAUGAGCUUCUUUUGCUUUCUUCGAGAGCUCUCCCAGCUUCUCUUUACCAAGCUGACGUAUCAGAGGUUUUAGAUUCUUUAAUUUCUUCGAGAAUCUAAACAUAGCAGAGGUCGAGUGAAAUAGUAUAGGGGUUUGAUCCCAAUACUCCUUUACUAAUGGAAGAAAUCCUUCCAAUCUCCCAAUAACAUUUACGUAUUUGAAUGGCUUCCUCAACUUCUCUUUUGGAGGAAAUAGUUGAAUUUUACAUCGCAAGUGAUCAGAACAUCCCCCCGCUUCAAAAACUGAAUAAGCAUUUGAAAACCUCUGAAUAACAACAUCAUUUAUUAGCACCCUAUCCAAAUUCUUACAUAUGAAUCCCUCUUCUCUCUUGUUACACCAAGCAUAGAGCCCUGAUAACCCAUAUCAGAUAAGUUGCAAUGCAGAGCCACAUUUUGGAACUCUCUCAUACCUCCUGAUACCCUACCAUUUUCCAGAAACCCUGAACUCUCCUCGCCAUCCAAAAUCUCAUUAAAAUCUCCUACAAUCAUCCAAGCUUUACGACGGAACAUAGCAGAAUCUUGAUGGUGACAAAGAUCUUCCCAUAGUUCCUUCCUUUCCUCUGCCAAAUUAUUUGCAUAAACUCCAGUAUAAAAGAAAUCAUCCUUGCCUUGCAACCCCACAGAGCAAGUUAUAAGCUGAUCAGAUUUAUAAACUGGCGUCAUACAAACAUCAUCUCUCCACACUAGCCAUAUUCUCCCUCCCACACUGUAUUCAUAGUUAGUCAUAUAAGACCAACCCGGAAAAACUUUCUUCAAAAUACUACCCGCUUUACUCUCCUUUACCCUCGUCUCCAGAAUGCACCCAAAACACAUGUUAUUACGAUGAACCCACUCUUCUAUCACGAAAUGUUUUAAAUAUUUGUUGAAACCACGAACAUUCCAGAAGAAACUCCCCAUAUAUUAGUGCUUUCGUCGAGGCCGAAUGCUCUUCCCAGGAUUUGCAUCCGGAGCCUUAGCCUUUCGUCCUCUUCUCGACCCAACUUUUUUCUCCUCAAGAACUUGUUGAUCAAUGUCUUCUACCUGGUCACUCUCAAGUAACUCCAUUUCCUCAGUUUCUAAUUGAUCAUCAUCCACUACAGUAAGUAACUUCUCAUCUGCUAAUAACUCUCCCUCAUCUACAUCUUCAAGACUAAGCACAUAGAAUUUUGAUGCAGAGAUCUCAACAUCAUCUACUUUCUGAGCUGAUAGAACUAAAGAUCUUCCUGUUUUGGCUGGCGAAACCUUAGGCCACCCACUUGUACCGACACCAUUCUAUAACUUUUUAGCACCUCCUUCACUCUCUACCACAUCCAUAACUUUAUCACCACUUCCCUCCAUUAAGACACCUUCCUUCUCAUUCACUACACUCAGAUAACUAGGACUUUCAACUUUCUCCCCAUUAACCUUCGUAAUAGGGGAUCCAGUUUCAUUUCUCUUCUUUCCCUUGCUCUUCAUAGCACACACUGCUUCACUGUAACCCCAUUUAUCACAUAACUUGCAUCUAGCCGGUAGCCAUGGGUAGUAGAACUUAACAGUGAACUGCUUUCCCUCCUUUGAAAAUGUGAUCUCCUUUGGCAAAGUUUUUGUGACAUCAACUCUCACAAAUAUCUUCGCCUCAUUUAGAUUAGAACAAGCUAUGGUUUCUGGGUGUGGCUUCACUGGAAAGCAUACUGUACUGGUGAUAAAACUCAAUCCUUCCCACGAGUACAUGUGGAGAGGUACUUUCUCCAAGUGAACCCACAUAGGAAUGGCUUCUUCCUUCUGUUCUUCCCCUUCAGAUUCUGGCGACCAUUUCAACACUAACAUAGGAACCCCAAUAUUCCAUAUACCACGAUGAAGAACCUUCUCCCUUGCCUUCUGACUUGAGACCUUAAACCUCAUCGUCGUCGCAUCGUCGUCGCAUUAACUUCAAAUACUCCACGAGCUGUUCCAUGCGUGUUUUUGGGUUAUCCUCACGGUCAUAAAGGUUACAAGGUUUUAGAUUUGGAAACUAAUACUAUUUCUAUUUCUCGAAACGUUGUUUUCCAUGAAAAUAAGUUUCCUUUUGUUACAGACGCAAGUUCUUUAUCUCGUGAGCAAUCUUUCUUUGAUCAAGAUGUUCUUCCACUUCCUGUUCCAGACUCCUCUUUUCCUGCUUUCUUUGACUUAGGAUCUGACGUCCAUUCUUCGGUUUUUGUUGAUAAUACUGCUUCUUCUAAUGAUGGUGUUUCUUUGUCUAGUUCUCCUAAUCAGUCUGUUCCUCUAGUACCAUCAGAAACGUCUGUAAAAGAUACAACUAUUGGACCAAAUAUUUCUGAGACAAGGUCAAAACGAAAGACAAAGGCUCCAUCAUAUCUUGACAAGUAUCAUUGUUACCUCUUGAAUCAUUCAUCUGAACCUCCUCUUCACCCUAAACACACUACCUCUUAUCCUAUUUCUGCAUUCUUGUCAUAUGAUAAGUUUGAUCCUGGUCACAAGAAAUUCAUACUUUCCAUAUCCUCUCACAAACUUCCCAAAACCUUUUCUGAGGCUGUUCAAUCUGAGGAUUUUAAAAGAUCCAUGACGUCUGAGAUGUGUUCUCUUGAAGAAGCUGGGACUUGGUCUGUAUGUCAACUUCCUCCUGAUAAACAUCCAGUUGGUUGUAAAUGGAUUCACACUUACAAAUACAAUCCAGAUGGCACCAUUGAGAGAAGUAAAUCGCGUGUUGUAGCCAAAGGUUAUACGCAGUUGGAGGGAUUGGACUACUUGGACACAUUUUCUCCGGUUGCGAAGAUUGGUACUCUCCGUCUGUUGCUGAGUGUUGCUGCUGCCAAGAACUGGACCAUCUCUCAACUUGAUGUGAGUAACGCUUUCCUCAAUGGAGAUCUAGAUGAAGAGAUCUACAUGCGUUUACCUGAAGGUUAUGAGGUUAUUACUGGCAAGAAAGUAGCUCUUAAUUCUGUCUGCAAGCUCCACAAGUCCAUUUAUGGACUUAAACAGGCAUCACGCCAGUGGAAUCUGAAGCUUUCUCAAGUAAUUCUUGGUGAUGGGUUCUCACAAACUCACUCGGAUCAUUCAUUAUUCAUCCGCCACAUUGGGAAUGUCUACUUGGCGGUCCUUGUAUAUGUUGAUGACAUCUUGAUUGUUGGUAACAGUGAGAGUGCGAUUACAGCUUUUAAGGAUGUGCUGAAGUCUGCCUUUAAGCUUCGUGAUCUUGGCCCUGCAAAAUACUUCCUUGGCUUUGAGAUUGCGCAUAAUCACACUGGUAUCUCCUUGAACCAGCGGAAGUACACUUUAGAACUUCUGGAGGAAGCUGGUUACUUGGGAUGCAAACCAUUGUCUGUUCCUAUGGAGCCCAAUCUCAAGAUGUCUGCUUCUUCAGGUACAGCACUUCCUGAUGCAUCAGUAUAUCGCCGGCUUGUUGGACGUAUGCUUUAUCUUACUCAUACGCGUCCUGACAUCACUUAUGCGGUUCAUAAGUUGAGUCAAUACAUGUCUGCACCUACUGAUGUUCACCUCCAAGUGGCUCAUAGAGUUCUUCGUUAUCUGAAGAACGAUCCCGGUCAAGGCUUAUUUUAUUCUGCUUCUGCCUCGUUGAAGUUGACUGCUUAUUCUGAUGCUGAUUGGGCGGCUUGUCCUGAUUCUAGACAAUCGAUCACAGGUUAUUGCGUCUUCCUUGGAAACUCUCUGAUCUCCUGGCGUUCCAAGAAACAGCCCACAGUCUCUCGCAGCAGCUCUGAAGCGGAAUAUCGUUCCAUGGCUGACACCACUUGUGAGCUUAUCUGGCUCACCACUAUACUUCACGAGAUGCAUUGUGAUGUCAUUGCUCCUGCUACACUCUUUUGUGACAAUCAGUCGGCUCUCUAUAUAGCUUCGAAUCCGGUGUAUCACGAGAGGACCAAGCACGUCGAGAUCGACUGUCACGUAGUACUCGAGAGAUUGCAAAGUGGGUUUAUGAAGACUCUUCACGUCAAGUCUGAACUUCAACUGGCAGAUAUCUUCACAAAGGCUGUUCAGCCUGCUCUGUUUCGAAGUUUGGUCAGCAAGAUUGACAUCCACAGCCUGUGUCUUCCAUCUUGAGGGGAGGGUAUUAGAGUAUAAAGUCGGUUAAGAGUCAAUUAGAUUGAACCGGUGGUUAUGUGAUAUAAACCGGGUAGUAUAAAUACAUGAAGAUACAUUGUAUACGUUACAACAUAAUAUACAUUUUUACACUUUUGGAUCGUAACAAACUCUGAAUCAUCUUCUUGAGCUCAAGCUCUAAUAUUCUUCAACGAGAAAAACAUCGUCCCUAACAUCGUCUCAUUCAACCACGUGAUCAAAGCCUUUUGUGAGCUAGGCCGUGUCGACGACGCCCUUCAACUGUACCGUCACGCUGUUCCGUUCGGUCCCGACAAAGAGACGUUUAGGCUUUUGACUCAAGCCUUGGCCGACGCGUAUGGCUACCGGGAAGCUUCAUCCGUGAGAUUAUGUAUAUGCUCAACUAAUGAGUGGACGCCCAUGCUCGUUGAGAUUCGUGCGCGCUUGGAUCAGAUGGAUGCUGAGGAUGCUGAUGAUUACUUUCACAAGAAUAGGCUGAUAUACGAUGAUGAUUCCGAUUCGCCGGGAGUUUUCGCAUCGAUUGCUACGAUAUUUGUGGAAUAUUGGCUCAAACAUGGCAAUGAAAAGAAAGCUAUGGAGUGCUAUAGCUCUAUCCGUACUUGGGUAAGCGUAAGUGAACUAAAGGCUCAUACCUUGUUCGAAUACAUGUUGAAGAAAUCCAAACGUUUUGAUUCAGACACCAUUAACAUAAUGGUGGACUACUGGUUCGAGCUUGACGAGUUUAACAAGGCCAUGGAGACAUUCAACGAGUCACAACAACAGGGAAGAAAGAGAAUGGUUGGGUGUUAUAGUAACAUGAUCGCUAGGCUUUGCGAGCGUGGGAUGAUGUGGGAGGCUGAAGGUUUGUUUGAGGACAUGUGUUCAGACAAAGACUUGUCUCCUCCUCCUGAUGUGUCUACAUUCAGAUCCAUGGUCAAUGGAUAUGUUCGCUCGGGAAGAGUUGAUGAUGCCAUCAAAAUCUCGAACAAAUUAGCAAUUUUGAAACUGCGCAAGGUUUCCAUUUACGAGGACUGAUGUGUCUUUAAUUCCCUAUGAGUGACUUCUUGUCGCUUUUCUUAUUACCUUGCUGGAGCUUUUAGCUGUCUAUUGCUCUCAUCAUGCUUAUUGUACCAAUCUAUAUCAAUAAUAAUUUAAUUACUUUAGGUUCUAUAUCGACUUAUAUAUUUUCAAGGAGCCGAAACAUGUUUGUUUGAUAAAUUAAUUAAUCUUAUAUAUAUGUGAACCACUCGCUUAAAAAAACAAUUUUAAGCAAAUAUUUAAUUAUAUAAUAUUAAGACUUAAGAGUACUCUUUACUGUUCCGAAAGUGAAGAACCAAUAUAGUAAAUUCUUAAUUACAUAAAGUCUAAAUAUUGAUUACAUUUAAAGAAACAUCACUGAAAUAGUAAAUUUAUGUCUACGGAAUGAUAUUUCAAUGUUGAAUGGUUAAUGCUGAGCAUUGGUCCUAUUUUCUUCACAAAGUCCACCGUUCAUCUUAUCCUCUUCAUUUGGUCGUUGAUAGUUUUUGGUGUGAUAUUCCUCAUCACAAUUGCUGGAAUUAUGUCUUUCUUGCUGUUUCACAAUAACGAAUCCUAACGUUGGAGAACUAAUAUGAAACAUGAUCAUAUAUGAUGAACACUAACAGAGGAUAAAAGUAUUUGCCUAAACUCACAAGCUUUCAGAAAAAAACUAACUUGAGGCUAAUACAUCACAACAUUUCACAUGUUCAUUAAUAAACAUGAUAUGCAGCUGUAGAUUAAUUAUUAAACAAUAAUGGAAGGUGAUGUUUACCUUUGGUAUAGAUAGUUUCUCAUUUAGCUUCUUUUAAACCAGACCACGAUGUGUUAUCAUCCGCUGAUUACAAAUUCUACAAUGACUCGAGGACCAAGCACGUCGAGAUCGACUGUCACGUAGUGCUCGAGAGAUUGCAAAGUGGGUUUAUGAAGACUCUUCACGUCAAGUCUGAACUUCAACUGGCAGAUAUCUUCACAAAGGCUGUUCAGCCUGCUCUGUUUCGAAGUUUGGUCAGCAAGAUUGACAUCCACAGCCUGUGUCUUCCAUCUUGAGGGGAGGGUAUUAGAGUAUAAAGUCGGUUAAGAGUCAAUUAGAUUGAACCGGUGGUUAUGUGAUAUAAACCGGGUAGUAUAAAUACAUGAAGAUACAUUGUAUACGUUACAACAUAAUAUACAUUUUUACACUUUUGGAUCGUAACAAACUCUGAAUCAUCUUCUUGAGCUCAAGCUCUAAUAUUCUUCAACGAGAAAAACAUCGUCCCUAACAUCGUCUCAUUCAACCACGUGAUCAAAGCCUUUUGUGAGCUAGGCCGUGUCGACGACGCCCUUCAACUGUACCGUCACGCUGUUCCGUUCGGUCCCGACAAAGAGACGUUUAGGCUUUUGACUCAAGCCUUGGCCGACGCGUAUGGCUACCGGGAAGCUUCAUCCGUGAGAUUAUGUAUAUGCUCAACUAAUGAGUGGACGCCCAUGCUCGUUGAGAUUCGUGCGCGCUUGGAUCAGAUGGAUGCUGAGGAUGCUGAUGAUUACUUUCACAAGAAUAGGCUGAUAUACGAUGAUGAUUCCGAUUCGCCGGGAGUUUUCGCAUCGAUUGCUACGAUAUUUGUGGAAUAUUGGCUCAAACAUGGCAAUGAAAAGAAAGCUAUGGAGUGCUAUAGCUCUAUCCGUACUUGGGUAAGCGUAAGUGAACUAAAGGCUCAUACCUUGUUCGAAUACAUGUUGAAGAAAUCCAAACGUUUUGAUUCAGACACCAUUAACAUAAUGGUGGACUACUGGUUCGAGCUUGACGAGUUUAACAAGGCCAUGGAGACAUUCAACGAGUCACAACAACAGGGAAGAAAGAGAAUGGUUGGGUGUUAUAGUAACAUGAUCGCUAGGCUUUGCGAGCGUGGGAUGAUGUGGGAGGCUGAAGGUUUGUUUGAGGACAUGUGUUCAGACAAAGACUUGUCUCCUCCUCCUGAUGUGUCUACAUUCAGAUCCAUGGUCAAUGGAUAUGUUCGCUCGGGAAGAGUUGAUGAUGCCAUCAAAAUCUCGAACAAAUUAGCAAUUUUGAAACUGCGCAAGGUUUCCAUUUACGAGGACUGAUGUGUCUUUAAUUCCCUAUGAGUGACUUCUUGUCGCUUUUCUUAUUACCUUGCUGGAGCUUUUAGCUGUCUAUUGCUCUCAUCAUGCUUAUUGUACCAAUCUAUAUCAAUAAUAAUUUAAUUACUUUAGGUUCUAUAUCGACUUAUAUAUUUUCAAGGAGCCGAAACAUGUUUGUUUGAUAAAUUAAUUAAUCUUAUAUAUAUGUGAACCACUCGCUUAAAAAAACAAUUUUAAGCAAAUAUUUAAUUAUAUAAUAUUAAGACUUAAGAGUACUCUUUACUGUUCCGAAAGUGAAGAACCAAUAUAGUAAAUUCUUAAUUACAUAAAGUCUAAAUAUUGAUUACAUUUAAAGAAACAUCACUGAAAUAGUAAAUUUAUGUCUACGGAAUGAUAUUUCAAUGUUGAAUGGUUAAUGCUGAGCAUUGGUCCUAUUUUCUUCACAAAGUCCACCGUUCAUCUUAUCCUCUUCAUUUGGUCGUUGAUAGUUUUUGGUGUGAUAUUCCUCAUCACAAUUGCUGGAAUUAUGUCUUUCUUGCUGUUUCACAAUAACGAAUCCUAACGUUGGAGAACUAAUAUGAAACAUGAUCAUAUAUGAUGAACACUAACAGAGGAUAAAAGUAUUUGCCUAAACUCACAAGCUUUCAGAAAAAAACUAACUUGAGGCUAAUACAUCACAACAUUUCACAUGUUCAUUAAUAAACAUGAUAUGCAGCUGUAGAUUAAUUAUUAAACAAUAAUGGAAGGUAUUGCUAUAAACAAUAUGAAGUUGUAUUAAUAAUACUCAAAAACCAUUGGUUAUAACUAUACGCAGUUGUAUCAAAUAAAAAUAUGGAGCCAUGUAUUAAAACCGUAGGUUAGAAAUCAAUACUAACAUUUUAAUGAAUGAACUAUACUAAAACAUUUUGUUUUUUUUUUCUCACAUAACGUUGAUGACAUGUGAAACAAAUGAUAUAAAAUCAAGCAAAUACAAAAUAUAACAUACUGAGCAUCAGCUUAUAAACAUCAACAAGAUGAUUGAUCAAAUGAUUUUUUUUAUUUGGAACAAAGCCAAAUCAGUAUUGUCAAUUAAGCUCCUAAUCUUAUAUUAUGUAUCCACUCUUACAAACCAUGAAUUGAUAAUAAACAUCAUUCGAAAAAGGAUUAGAUAUAAACUAAAAAUAUAUAUAUAUAUAUAUAUAUAUCUAUUAGCUUACAAUCGUUAGAGCUUCGUGUUGAUAAUGUGUUUUAACUAAAGAAGAGAAAAGAAGAGAAGAGAAGAAUUUAUAUGUCUUAUUUCAUCAAUAAUAAACUCCUUAUAUGUAGAUACAAUAUGAAAGUUUAACUUGAAAACCAAAUCUCAAACUGGUAAUCAUUCAAGAAAUAAGAGGAAUAAGAAGAAAAUGAAUAAUGAAGAAUUAAACAAAAUGAAAUUUGUUCCUUUCCUAAUUUGAUAAGAACUAAAUGUAGUCUAUUAUUCCUUAAAUAUGAAAGAAUGUUAAGAAAUCAUAAGUAAUAAAUAUUUUUUAUAAAUGGUGUAAAUUGAAAAGAAUGAUAAGCAAUAGAUUAUUUUCACCCAUUCCCUUGGUCACCGUUUAGAUACCAAGUACAAUUCAAAUUUGAUGAGCAAAACUUUCUAUAAACGACAUCACAAUAUUUAUAACAAAAAAUACAUUUUGAUAGAAGUUGUAAGAUUCGUUUUUUGUUUGUUUCACAUGUGAAAAAAUAGGAAUCUUAUGUUUGUUUAUUUUUUAUUUGUAUAGUAGGUGUUUGUCCGAAAUCUCGCGGAGAAUAGUAUUAUACUUAUGUUUACAAUGUUAUAAUUAUUGAAUAAUAAAUAUAAAUAUUAAAAUUUGAAAUUUUAGCCACAAAUAAUUUGAUAAUCAAAAAUUUCAACAUAUAUUUUUAGAAGAAUUGUGAAAUUUAAGUAAUUCAAAAACAUAAAUCUAAGUCACUAAAAAUCUUUUUUUUUCGUGCAUGAAAGAAAUAUUAUAAUUAGUUCAGGUAAGCUUUUCCAUUUUACUAAAUGGAAAACAAUUUAUAUAUCACACAUGCUAAUUAAUAGAGCCUUUUGAUUCUCCCUAUUUUGUUGGAAUUUUACCUGUUUUACACUAAAGCCCACUUCAUCGUUUCAGACCUCAAUUCAUUAGUUUUUCUGAUUCUCUACCAAACCUAUUACUAUCCUCCAUAUGAAUUUGAUCACACAUGCUGUGUUGAGUGCCUCGAUCGUUUCCUUUUUUUUUUUUUUAUUAAAGCACUGGCGCUUACAUGCAUGCAUGCUUACAGCACACAUUGAUCUUUUACUGUUUCUAUUUUGCCGUAGAUAAGAACAUCUGAUAAUAAUGGCCAUGAUGGAGCAAUCGAACCUGAGGAUUACUACGCUGACAAUGGAGAGGCCCCCAGUCUGCGUAUAUUUUCUUAAUUGGACUUUGCAACCGAGGUGACCAAUGCCUGUUCUCUCAUACUCUUCAGUCAACAAUACCAGCCUGCAGCAAAUUCGCAGGUUUGUUUUGUUUACCGUCCUAGUCAGACAGGUUGUUAUACCUCAACUAAUGAGAGUCGGGUUUUGCAGCGACGGAGAAUCUUGUAUGUUUUCACAUGUCAAUGCGAAGACAGACCACACCACACUAUUCUCCUUCCACAUCGCCACUCCAACUUCUUCUGAGGGUUACAUUCUCUCGUAUUCGAUGACUCUGACAUGCAUAGUAUAGCCUCCUGGACAAAAUAAUCUCCACUUCAUCUUCUUCAGAGACGCUUUUCUGUGGUGGUGAUAUUCGUCAAUUGGGGACACAAGAAUCUUCUGGGGUCUCAGUCAUCCUUACGAAAAGCAGGAGAGGAGAAUGAAGUGACAUGCGUGCUGACAUGCAUAGUAUAGCCUCCUGGACAAAAUAAUCUCCACUUCAUCUUCUUCAGAGACGCUUUUCUGUGGUGGUGAUAUUCGUCAAUUGGGGACACAAGAAUCUUCUGGGGUCUCAGUCAUCCUUACGAAAAGCAGGAGAGGAGAAUGAAGUGACAUGCGUGCUGUGGUUCUUAAACCCAGACAGCUACGGCGAAACUCCUGAUAAACAGAAAGCAGUCACUACAAGAAAACAGCGUAAUUCUGACGGACAUUCUGACGGAAAAUGAGAUCUUCGGAAUAUUCCGACGAAUUUCCGAGGAAAUUCCGAGAAAACCCAAAAUUUGGGUUUUCUCGGAAUUUCUUCGGAAUAUACCGAUGAAAUACCGAGGAAAUCAUAUUCCUCGGAAAACACCGACGAAUAUCCGAGGAUAUAUUAUAGCCGUUAAAGAGCCGUUGGGGGAUUUUAAAAAUUCCGAGGAAAGAGCCGUUGCCGUCGGACAUCCAUCUCCUUUCAAAGAAACCCACAUUCAGAUAAGAGAAGAAAGAGGAAAACAAAGACAUAAACAGAGAGAUGCAGCUGCAUAUAUCUCCGAGCUUAAGACAUGUGACGGUAGUCACGGGGAAAGGAUUGAGAGAGUUCAUAAAAAAGAAGGUAGGGUUCUAGAAGAUUCUCGUAUCAGAUGAUGUUUUAAUCUCUGCUCUUCUUCACUUUUCUUCUCCGGUUCGUCUUCGUUCUCUCCACCGUUGAUACUAUCGACGGCGAUCCCUCUCCUUGAAUGUCAUAAUUGCAGACGUUUCUCAAAAUCAUCAAUUGAGAGGAGGAGUUAGACCGUGAGCGUUCACACAGCUAAGAAGAAGAAGAGUCAGCCACGAUAAUAAAUUAAUAACUUUCAUUGGAGAUUUGGUAUUGAUGAGGUGGGCUUCAUAUUGGCACUGGAUAUUAUUAAUGGCCCAAACGCCUGGCCCGAUUUUAUAUUAGUUGACUUAAAACUUCGUAUGACGUAGCAUAAUAAUGCUCUCUGAUUGGCUGAAUAUAUUAACUGACGUGGAUAGGUUUAGAGGGGAGGAUAUCCACCUUUUAGUAUAGUAUAGAUGUGAACCACUCGCUUAAAAAAACAAUUUUAAGCAAAUAUUUAACUAGAGGGUUUUUCCGGGCUACGCCCGGAUUUUUCCCUAUAAUAUUAUUAAAUUGAUUUAAACUUGCGUUUUUAGUAUUGAGUAGGGUUUUUUCUGGUGAGAUUGUAUUGUAAUUCUUUUUAUAUAUACAGAGUAAUGCAUCUCUUUUAAAAGGAUGGUUAUGGCUGAAGUUAUUGAUUCAACUGUUAUUAUAUAAUUUUGGUAAGUGGUGCUAUGAGGUUUGUAUAUCUGAAUUAUUAGUUUUUAUCUUAUUACUAUAUAAAUUAUUCUGUUGAACUUGUAUUAAUUUGCAUAUAUUUUUUUGUAUAUUAAGAAGUUUUUAUGUAAUACCAAAUAUCCUUCGAUAUUAUAAAAUAUGUUUACAACUUAUGAAAUAAAAAAUGAGUUUGAUAACUAACAAAGAACAUUAGCUUGAGCGAUGGUCUCCAGAACAACUUAAUGAUCGUAACAAAAAAAAGAAACAUAAAAGAAAAAGUGAUCAGUAUACUAUGUAAAAGCAAUAUGGCUAUAACUGAGUUUUAAUAAUUUGUUUGAAUAUUUUUUUCAUGUCUAUUUUGAUCUUAUAUAUGGUAUGAUAUAAGAAACAUUAAAUUGUAGCUCCGAUAACAUAUAUAGGUACUCGUAGCUAGUGAUGAAGAGAAUUGUAAUUUUCCUGCAGUAGUAAACUUGAAAUUAAUUCUCUAAACUAUAUUUGCGAAGUGAUUUUGCCACAUGUUUUCUCUACAAUCAAUUUCACAAAACAAAUAUGACAUGACUAAUGAAAUUGAUGACAUGGCUUCCAAGAAAAUAUGACAUAUAUAAUUUCAUUUAAUGUUGAUUUAUAUUUUUGGCAAACUUAUUAGAAUAUGGUAAUAAUUCAUAUAUUAUAUUUAAUAUUGAUAUUUCUUUUUGGCAAACUUUUUUAAAAUAUGGUAAUAGCUCAUACAUCAUCUAUAAAAUAAAUAUAUUCAUAUAAAACAUUUCAAAUUUCAAAAUAUUAUUAUUUUUGUAAUACUAAAGCUUUCAAAAUUUCUACAAUUUUUUAAAAAUUAAAUAAUAUCUAAUCGUAAGAUCAUUAGUUUUUUAUAUACCUACAAUCAUGCAAUGUUAUAACAUUUUUAUUAGUUUUAUACAAAUUGAUUGCCACAUGUCAUUUUACAAUCAAUUUCACAAAACAAAUAUGACAUGCCUACUAAAAUUGAUGACAUGGCUUGCGGCAAAAUAUGACAUGGAUAAUUUCAUUAAUGUUGAUUUAUAUUUUGGAAAACUUAUUAGAAUAUGGUAAUAAUUCAUAUAUUACAUUUAAUAUUGAUAUUUCUUUUUGGUAAUUUUUUUUAAUAUGGUAAUAGCUCAUACAUCUCCUAUAAAAUUAAUGUAUUCAUAUAUAACAUUUCAAAUUUCGAAAUAUUAUUAUUUUUGUACAAUUAUACAAUUUGUAUUACUAAAGCUUUCAAAAAUUUCUACAAUAUUUUAAAAAUUUAAAUAUCUAAUCGUAAAAAAAUUCUUUAUCGCACAUGGUGCAGGAAAACACCUAGUAAUAAAUCAAAAUUCAAUUUAAUAAAUAAAAUAAUAGUAAAAUUGCCACAGAUUUUAGGUCCUUGCAGUUUAGUAGUUGUAUUAAUAAUAAAUUAAAUAAGGAUCAGUGCCUUUAUAUAUUGUUGGGAUGAUGCUUGUGACGAUAAGAACAUGAAAUCUUCUAUCUCUCUUGGCUUGUAAGGAUCUAAAGUCUGCGGCUUGGUUGUAAGUAGCUUAUAUUAUUUGAUAAUUUAUUGGUCAAUGGUAAUCACAAAAUCAUAUAUUAAUGUCUUUCCUCUCCUAAACUCUGAACUAUUUACGUUUCAUGUCAUAGAUAUCAAAUAUACAAUAGAACCUGUUUCUGAAGACAUAAAUAAUAAACUGAGCAAUGUAAUUCUGAUGAAGCAGAGUGAUAAAACAGUAAACAUGAUUUUUAGCUGCUAAUCAUGCAAAGUAGAUAAAAUGUUUCAAGGAAAAAAAACACUGAAAAGCAAAAAAACUGAAAGGAAAUCAUAAGUCAAUACUUAAACUGAAAAAAGACUUAAACAUCAUUGAAGCAUGCAAUAAGUGAGAAGAUGAAUGGGAGCUCUACUUCUCACAUCUUGGGCGCUUAGCUUUCGCUGGCCCAUCACUUGCAGAGUUCCUCUUACUCUCCUCAUCUGCAGAAUCUCCACGCCUGUUCGAAGGUUCACACACUUCAUUUCCAAGAAAAUAAUAUAACUGCAGACGUAAUCUUUUUAAAUUAUCAUAUAAUUUGACAAUAAUCUCUUCCAAGAAAAUAAUAUAAUUUCCUCAACGUUACAUGUUUAUUUAUUUAUCUAUACUAAGCUUUCUUAACUACCCAACAACUUCAACUAAUGUAAAUAGAGAUCCAUACUUGCUUUUAGCUGCAUUAGUGUGGAAGGAGAGGUUUUAUGUUAAAAUAAAAGUUAAAGAUCGAGAGAUAGUAAGAUGGAGAAUCAAAGUUGGUCAGAUUGGUGCAUUCAUCCAACUAAAAGACAGACGAAACAAUGAUUGCAAGUGAAACUACUCUAGAUGUUUACCUUUGGUAUAGAUAGUUUCUCAUUUAGCUUCUUUUAAACCAGACCACGAUGUGUUAUCAUCCGCUGAUUACAAAUUCUACAAUGACUCCAGCUAUCUUCUCCACAAAACACUCUUUCAUAAUCUGGUAUCUGCUGUAUAGAAAAGUGUAUUGUUAUUUCAUGAACCUAACUACCCAAAACAUCAACGAAAAUGACAUGAACUUAUAGCAUUAUUACCUCUAACGUACUGACUCUGAGAUUGGUUAGUGACGUCUCUUCCUCGAGUUUUUACUGUUUUCUUUAUUACCUUGGCGAGCCUUUUCUUUUCAAUACUACCAUGCUUUGAAGUUCAAGACACGUAGCUUUAUGUCAAAGAAACAAAUACAUUUUAACUAAUGAUCAGUCAUGGAUGAGUCUUUUGAUACAGGAAGUCAAAACACUCUAAGCAUUUGGAAAAAAAAGGGAUCAAAUAUUUAGGGUGUCAAUGAAACUUACCGGCUUGGAUAAUCAUAUGAGCAUCACCCAUCUUAUACUCAAGUGCUCCUGUUUAAAAAAAAAAUAACAUAAAAACGUGAGGAGAGAAAUAGCUCCGACCAAACUCAUCGAUCCAUUAUUAAUCACAUUUGAAUCACCUAAAUUACACUGUCAGCAACAAUAACAUCAACCGAACCACUUCGGAUUGAAGUAUCCGCACGACUAAGGGCUUGUUCGCGCCAAUUAGGCUGUGAUAGAAGUAUAUUUUCUGUAUUUAUACAGAUUACCCUAGCAAGUGGCGAGUCAAUAGAAUGCUCAGCAUGUACAAACACACAGGUCCCUGUACGCGAAGAUACAUUUUUUAAGAAAAGUCAGACCUUUUGAAUCCAAUAUCGUUCAGUAAAGAACAUAGUCAUAGAGUUGAAGAAAUAAACAAUAACCCCUUGUUUCUAUGCUUAAUGCUUCAGCCCGUGUUGUUUUCUUCAAGACCCUACAACACCCAAAUCUGAGACCAGUAAUAUCUCUACAUUAACAAAGGACACAUUUUUUUUUUUUUUGAAGUAGUAUAACUAAGAGAUGUCUACCCUGGGAAGGCCACCAACUACUAUUGCUGCAUCGAGAGCAAAAGAUCCGGUAAAGUAUAAUGUGACAUCUAGGAGAAACCUGGAGGUAAAAGGAAUGAAUCAAUCUCUUCUGGUGUCAAUGGUCGACAUCCUCUGUUUCUUAGCUCUCAUCUGUUAACCGUGAAUCUUGGGCUCUUCCUUGCCAAAUCACCUGAGACAAAAUGAACAACGGGAAAUCAGAUACGAUCUGCCAUUAGUAACCUAAACACAAAGCAAGGUUAGGUGAAUGACAUAGACCCUUUUGAAUAAUCAAACAAUACAUAACAACGUAAGAUCAAUAUUUCCUCUUCGGACAUCCAUCUCCUUUCAAAGAAACCCACAUUCAGAUAAGAGAAGAAAGAGGAAAACAAAGACAUAAACAGAGAGAUGCAGCUGCAUAUAUCUCCGAGCUUAAGACAUGUGACGGUAGUCACGGGGAAAGGAUUGAGAGAGUUCAUAAAAAAGAAGGUAGGGUUCUAGAAGAUUCUCGUAUCAGAUGAUGUUUUAAUCUCUGCUCUUCUUCACUUUUCUUCUCCGGUUCGUCUUCGUUCUCUCCACCGUUGAUACUAUCGACGGCGAUCCCUCUCCUUGAAUGUCAUAAUUGCAGACGUUUCUCAAAAUCAUCAAUUGAGAGGAGGAGUUAGACCGUGAGCGUUCACACAGCUAAGAAGAAGAAGAGUCAGCCACGAUAAUAAAUUAAUAACUUUCAUUGGAGAUUUGGUAUUGCUGAGGUGGUAUUAAGACUUAAGAGUACUCUUUACUGUUCCGAAAGUGAAGAACCAAUAUAGUAAAUUCUUAAUUACAUAAAGUCUAAAUAUUGAUUACAUUUAAAGAAACAUCACUGAAAUAGUAAAUUUAUGUCUACGGAAUGAUAUUUCAAUGUUGAAUGGUUAAUGCUGAGCAUUGGUCCUAUUUUCUUCACAAAGUCCACCGUUCAUCUUAUCCUCUUCAUUUGGUCGUUGAUAGUUUUUGGUGUGAUAUUCCUCAUCACAAUUGCUGGAAUUAUGUCUUUCUUGCUGUUUCACAAUAACGAAUCCUAACGUUGGAGAACUAAUAUGAAACAUGAUCAUAUAUGAUGAACACUAACAGAGGAUAAAAGUAUUUGCCUAAACUCACAAGCUUUCAGAAAAAAACUAACUUGAGGCUAAUACAUCACAACAUUUCACAUGUUCAUUAAUAAACAUGAUAUGCAGCUGUAGAUUAAUUAUUAAACAAUAAUGGAAGGUAUUGCUAUAAACAAUAUGAAGUUGUAUUAAUAAUACUCAAAAACCAUUGGUUAUAACUAUACGCAGUUGUAUCAAAUAAAAAUAUGGAGCCAUGUAUUAAAACCGUAGGUUAGAAAUCAAUACUAACAUUUUAAUGAAUGAACUAUACUAAAACAUUUUGUUUUUUUUUUCUCACAUAACGUUGAUGACAUGUGAAACAAAUGAUAUAAAAUCAAGCAAAUACAAAAUAUAACAUACUGAGCAUCAGCUUAUAAACAUCAACAAGAUGAUUGAUCAAAUGAUUUUUUUUAUUUGGAACAAAGCCAAAUCAGUAUUGUCAAUUAAGCUCCUAAUCUUAUAUUAUGUAUCCACUCUUACAAACCAUGAAUUGAUAAUAAACAUCAUUCGAAAAAGGAUUAGAUAUAAACUAAAAAUAUAUAUAUAUAUAUAUAUAUAUCUAUUAGCUUACAAUCGUUAGAGCUUCGUGUUGAUAAUGUGUUUUAACUAAAGAAGAGAAAAGAAGAGAAGAGAAGAAUUUAUAUAUCUUAUUUCAUCAAUAAUAAACUCCUUAUAUGUAGAUACAAUAUGAAAGUUUAACUUGAAAACCAAAUCUCAAACUGGUAAUCAUUCAAGAAAUAAGAGGAAUAAGAAGAAAAUGAAUAAUGAAGAAUUAAACAAAAUGAAAUUUUGUUCCUUUCCUAAUUUGAUAAGAACUAAAUGUAGUCUAUUAUUCCUUAAAUAUGAAAGAAUGUUAAGAAAUCAUAAGUAAUAAAUAUUUUUUAUAAAUGGUGUAAAUUGAAAAGAAUGAUAAGCAAUAGAUUAUUUUCACCCAUUCCCUUGGUCACCGUUUAGAUACCAAGUACAAUUCAAAUUUGAUGAGCAAAACUUUCUAUAAACGACAUCACAAUAUUUAUAACAAAAAAUACAUUUUGAUAGAAGUUGUAAGAUUCGUUUUUUGUUUGUUUCACAUGUGAAAAAAUAGGAAUCUUAUGUUUGUUUAUUUUUUAUUUGUAUAGUAGGUGUUUGUCCGAAAUCUCGCGGAGAAUAGUAUUAUACUUAUGUUUACAAUGUUAUAAUUAUUGAAUAAUAAAUAUAAAUAUUAAAAUUUGAAAUUUUAGCCACAAAUAAUUUGAUAAUCAAAAAUUUCAACAUAUAUUUUUAGAAGAAUUGUGAAAUUUAAGUAAUUCAAAAACAUAAAUCUAAGUCACUAAAAAUCUUUUUUUUUCGUGCAUGAAAGAAAUAUUAUAAUUAGUUCAGGUAAGCUUUUCCAUUUUACUAAAUGGAAAACAAUUUAUAUAUCACACAUGCUAAUUAAUAGAGCCUUUUGAUUCUCCCUAUUUUGUUGGAAUUUUACCUGUUUUACACUAAAGCCCACUUCAUCGUUUCAGACCUCAAUUCAUUAGUUUUUCUGAUUCUCUACCAAACCUAUUACUAUCCUCCAUAUGAAUUUGAUCACACAUGCUGUGUUGAGUGCCUCGAUCGUUUCCUUUUUUUUUUUUUUAUUAAAGCACUGGCGCUUACAUGCAUGCAUGCUUACAGCACACAUUGAUCUUUUACUGUUUCUAUUUUGCCGUAGAUAAGAACAUCUGAUAAUAAUGGCCAUGAUGGAGCAAUCGAACCUGAGGAUUACUACGCUGACAAUGGAGAGGCCCCCAGUCUGCGUAUAUUUUCUUAAUUGGACUUUGCAACCGAGGUGACCAAUGCCUGUUCUCUCAUACUCUUCAGUCAACAAUACCAGCCUGCAGCAAAUUCGCAGGUUUGUUUUGUUUACCGUCCUAGUCAGACAGGUUGUUAUACCUCAACUAAUGAGAGUCGGGUUUUGCAGCGACGGAGAAUCUUGUAUGUUUUCACAUGUCAAUGCGAAGACAGACCACACCACACUAUUCUCCUUCCACAUCGCCACUCCAACUUCUUCUGAGGGUUACAUUCUCUCGUAUUCGAUGACUCUGACAUGCAUAGUAUAGCCUCCUGGACAAAAUAAUCUCCACUUCAUCUUCUUCAGAGACGCUUUUCUGUGGUGGUGAUAUUCGUCAAUUGGGGACACAAGAAUCUUCUGGGGUCUCAGUCAUCCUUACGAAAAGCAGGAGAGGAGAAUGAAGUGACAUGCGUGCUGACAUGCAUAGUAUAGCCUCCUGGACAAAAUAAUCUCCACUUCAUCUUCUUCAGAGACGCUUUUCUGUGGUGGUGAUAUUCGUCAAUUGGGGACACAAGAAUCUUCUGGGGUCUCAGUCAUCCUUACGAAAAGCAGGAGAGGAGAAUGAAGUGACAUGCGUGCUGUGGUUCUUAAACCCAGACAGCUACGGCGAAACUCCUGAUAAACAGAAAGCAGUCACUACAAGAAAACAGCGUAAUUCUGACGGACAUUCUGACGGAAAAUGAGAUCUUCGGAAUAUUCCGACGAAUUUCCGAGGAAAUUCCGAGAAAACCCAAAAUUUGGGUUUUCUCGGAAUUUCUUCGGAAUAUACCGAUGAAAUACCGAGGAAAUCAUAUUCCUCGGAAAACACCGACGAAUAUCCGAGGAUAUAUUAUAGCCGUUAAAGAGCCGUUGGGGGAUUUUAAAAAUUCCGAGGAAAGAGCCGUUGCCGUCGGUAUUCCGUCGGAAUUUCCUCGGUCUGUCGGCAGGAUUUCGUUAUGAUUUUUCAUCAAACAGGCUAGUUGUAGCUUUUGAGUUAAUGGUCGAUGCUUGUCUUAGGUAAGAUUUGACCCGGUUGAUUAUUUGGAGUGAGGGGACAAUGACGACUUGAACUCGCCUUGAGUUUUUAAAAGGUAUGAGUUUUAUGAGAAGAGUAGAACUUGUCAUCUUAGACAUGCUUAGGUUUUUCUGCGUUAAAUUUUGUUCCUUUCACGCAAUAGAGAGGAGGUAUAUAUCAAGGUUCUAAAAAUCGGUCUAGGCGGCGCCUAGGCCCCCGCCUAGGCGGUAACUCGGUCCUAUCCGAAACGAUUUUUCAAAAAUACGAUUUAUAUGAAUUAUAUCAGUUUAAGUUGUUCUAAAGCGGUUAAAAUCGACCUAAAUUGGUCUAAAAUGUUAAAUUAAACAAUAAUGUUAGUAUAAAUCAACAGAACUUUCUAAUUUAUUUUGUUUUGUAUAUCUAUUUUUAAUAAUUUAUCACAAUAAUUUUAUAAUUAAAAAUCAAAAACUAAAUAUUUCAUAUAAAUAUAAAAUAAAUCAAUAAUUCGUUAACGCUUAGGCCUCGCCUAGACCCCGAAUAAUCCGCCAAGGUGUUAGUUCUCAAUAAAACGCCUAGUUACCGCCUAGAGAUUUCUUGAACAUUGGUAUAUAUAGUUUAUUUCCGAGAUAGCCUAGGUUAAAUAGGAUAUUAUGAGCAACUCGAUUAUCAGUUGAGAAUAUAGGUAUUUGAAUUAAGUAAUACUUAAUUACUUAUCCCUUUUAGAUCAAAUCAUCAUAAUUAUCAGAAUAUUCUUUUGCAAGUUCGUAUGUAGAGUGUUAGUUAUAUUCUUAGAUUGCAUAAUAAUAGGAAACUGUUUAAGAAUAUUAUCAAUGUUAGGAAUCAAAAAAGGUCAAUUUGUUUUGAUUUAGUGCACCGGUAAUAUCUAAUAAUAUAUUUGGUUGAUUCUGUAGAUCAACAUAUAACCAAUGAUUUUUUUUUUUUUUGUAACUAAACCAAUGAAUAUUUUGUACCGAAACAUGUUUGUUUUUUAUUUCUGCAGACCAAACUAAACCGAGAGUGACUCUUGAAGGUAUUGAAAAUUUGAAGACUAACAUAGCCGUGAUUCAGUGCAACCUUGAGAAGAUAUUUCCUCCCUCAUUUUUUGAUGUUAUGGAGCAUCUUGUUAUUCACCUGGCAAGAGAAUUGGAACUUGGUGGUCCUGUGCAGUAUAGAUGGAUGUAUCUGUAUGAGCGGUAUAUGUUCCAUUUGAAGAAGAUGGUGAAAAAUUUAAGUAGGGUGGAAGGUUCUAUAGUCGCACAGAUGAUCAAUGAAGAAACUUCAAACUUUGCCGAGUACUACUUUCCAGCAGAAGUUCAGACCAAAAAAGAAGACCUGCUCGGCAUGAUGAUAGAGGCGAACGGGCAACAUAUCAUGUUACGGUUCCAGACAUUUUCACAGACGUUGGACGACUUAGCGGAAAACCAAAGGACCGUCGACUUACUGAGCAGGAGCGCAGUCAUUUGCAAACAUAUUUGCUCACCAACUGCGAAGAUGUUCUUCAAUAAGAGAGGUAAAUAAAUUAGCUUACAAAUUUUUAUUUUAACAAGUUGAAAUUUAAAUCUUAAUUAAUUAUAUUAUUGUCAACAUAUGUACAGGAUUUUCAUGGCAGAAAAGCGGUUCGAAUAUAGAUAAGCCACAGAGGAGAAACUUGAAGAACUGAAGCAGAGAGAAUUUUCUGGAUGGAUGCUUACUUAUGUGAGUGCUUUAAACAAAUUAAAAUAUUAUUUAUCACAUAUUUAUACUAAUUCACAUAUAUUGAUAUAACAUAUAUAUGUGCUAUUAAUAGGUGUCUGCUGGUAUGACCAGAGGUGAAAUAUUUGACGAUUGGAUACGCGAGAUGGUGCGUGGACCAGUUGUGAAGUCAUAUCCGAGACAUUCUCUCGUAUUCGAUGACUCUGACAUGCAUAGUAUAGCCUCCUGGACAAAAUACUCUCCACUUCAUCUUCUUCAGAGACGCUUUUCUGUGGUGGUGAUAUUCGUCAAUUGGGGACACAAGAAUCUUCUGGGGUCUCAGUCAUCCUUACUAAAAGCAGGAGAGGAGAAUGAAGUGACAUGCGUGCUGUGGUUCCUAAACCCAGACAGCUACGGCGAAACUCCUGAUAAACAGAAAGCAGUUGUGUAGAAUUUCUUCGAGUACAUGGCAAUCAGAAUACUCGGCGAUGGUCUUUACGAUAUCCGAAUAGUUCUGACUAUGGACAACAUCAUAUUAACAAACUUGCAGGUACAUAUAUAUAUUUUGUCUUGUUAGCUUUCAGGUUCUCCGUUGUCUUGUUUGUGUCUACUCUGAUUAAUUUUUUUAUUGUUUUCAUAAGGUUGAGAAGCUAGCCAGAGAGAGCUUCUUCUUCCUUGGAGAGUCCUUCCCGCACAAUUCAGUGAGCUUCGGUGAAUUCUCAGACACAUUCACACUAUGCAGAAGCCUAUGCUAGUCUCUAGACCAGUCUCCUAAGUCUUUGAUCUCCAUCCUCCUACUGACACCCAGUUUGGUGAAUACACCCUGCUGGCCUUCACAAAAUCUCUUCACAACCAAUGACCUUAUCGUCGUGUUAGAAAUGGAAUCUACUUUUUUUUUUUUUUUGUCUCUGUCGUCUACUAUUAACCUAUAACCCUCUUUACCCAUUUUUAGAUGGCUUUACUUUUGUGAAUCUCGAAAAUGAAACUUGCUAAGACUAUCAAAUGUUUGCUCUGUGUCCUGAAAUGAUUUUGCUUUGAUCCAUGUUGCAUGCCUUAGAUAGUUAGAUUGAUCAAGUCAGCUUUCGUUUACUUUGUCUUGCUUGUAAACGAAUAUGGUUCAAUAGGAGAUAUAUACAUCAUCACUCAUUACCGUUUUUAUCAUUUCACAUAAAACAUAGAGAGUGGCAUUUUGACCAUCAUGAGCCAAAACUCUCCUAGUCAUUCAUUAGUAGCUGGAGCCUAGUUCUUGUGUACAGAUAAUAAUAUUACACUAGAUUUUGAUCCGCGCUUUGAAAUCGCGGAAUAACAUUUUAGUUAAAUUUUUUAUUUAAAAUUUAUUAAUUUUUCUGAUCUGAAUUUUAAUAUUUGAGUUUAAGAUAUUUAACUGAGAAUAAUUUAUUUUAACAUAUCAUAGUGAUGGACAUUCGGAAUUUAGGUUCAUAUCUUUAUUCAAUUUUCAAGUUAUUGGAGUUGGGGUGUUAAGACCCAUUUAUGAACCAUAACUUUUCGAAUCAGAGCGAUUCGGGUGAUGUUGAGUUCGAGUCAGAUUUUAAUUUUUUCAUAAAACCCGAAGUGAACCGAAUUAGAAAUAGUUUGGCUUUAUUUUGUGUUUAUUUGGGUUUAAAGCCAAAAAAUUCAAAAUUCCAAAAACUCUGAGUUAAACCUGAAAAACAGAUAAUUCAUGUAAUUUGGGGUUUUAGAUAUUUUUAUUAUAAAAUUAUAUUAUGUAUAUAUAUAAAUUAAUACUAUUAUGUUGAUUUUCAGUUUGGUUUUAGCUCUUUGGGUUUAGAGAAGUAGAAACCAUUCAGAUUUUUGUAUAUUUUUAUCCGGUUUUAGUUCCGAUUUUUUUAGUUUGUUUUUCAGAUAUUGGAUAAUAUGUCCAUGACUACCGUCAAAUUAGUUUUUUUUUACCUAUAUGUUAAUAUCUAUCUUACUAAAAGAUAAUCACUCAUGAUUUUCCUAAGAAUACCUUAUAAUAUUACUUUUGUACUAUUUAAUUUCGUUUAAAAGGAUAUUUGGUCUUUCACUAAAUAUAUUUUUAUCAUUUGUAAACUGAUUCAAUAAAUCAUUUAUGGAUUAAAUAUCAUACUUAACUUGCUAUAUCCAAGGGAUGUACAUAACAAAUGAACAUCAUAUACUGUGAAAAACAUUUUGCAGUAUAUACUCUUUCACAUUUUGCCAAUAUAGUUUGGGUUUACGAAGAGGUAAAUACCCAGUGCCGGUCCGGAUUGAUGUGGUGCCCAAAGCGGAACAAGAAAUAUAUUGGCCCAUAGUUAUAAUUUUUUUUGUUUACUCUAAGUAUUUUAAAAAGCAAAAAAAAAAUCUACAAGUUUAUCACUAUAAAUUAAAUUACAUUCAUAAUCCUUGAACAAUAAAUAUUAAAAGAAGAUAUAAAUUAGAUAAUAGAAUAAGAUAUACAUAUCUUAACAAAAACAAACAAUUAGACAACAAUUAUAGCAGCAUCAAUUCUAGUUGGUAAAAUUUUAUUACGUUUUUAUAGUCUCUCAGCAAUGCUAAAUUCAUAUUCUGAGAUUCAAAAAAAUUUCAAAAAGAAAAAAUAGAGGAGAAUGAAAAUGAAACUCAUAUGCAAUUAGAAAAGGAGAAUGAAAAAGAUACAUGUAGUAAAAGUUGACAAAAAAAUAAUGAAAAAUAAUGCGGAGAAGUGAGGAGAUAAGUGUCAAUUGCUAAGGUAAAGAAAAUAAUUACUUUUAUUUAGUUUCCUUAUUUAUUUUAUAACAUGUAUAAGUUAAUGUCGUUUACUAUAGUUCCUAUUAUUUAUAAGGAAAUUAAAGUUAUUAGAAAAAGGUAAUCAAAAUCUUUACUGAUCAAGUCUUCUUUUUAUUUAUUGCCAUUAACGAAAGGGAAAAAAUGAAGGGAGUCUGGUUAAAUUCAGGUUCGAACCUGUCUUUACAGGUUAAAAGAAACAGUUGAUAAACCACUACACUAAAGGAAACCUUUAAACUUGGUGCCCCAAAUACUUAUAUAUAUUUUGGUGCCUAAAGCUAUUGCUUUAUGGGCUUUAGCCCAGGGCCGGGCCUGUAAAUACCUUACUUCUUUUUGUUGUUAUCACCUUGUUUGAUUGCUGGAAUGGUUAGUAGCUUUAGUAGUUAGAAAACCAUUAAAAUAUUUGAACUUUGGACUUAUUUGAUCAAUCUCUAGAGAGAUUGGGGGAGGAAAAAUGUGUAGUACACUACAAGAUCAGUUUCUCAUAUUUGCUGCAGGCGGACUACGGAGAACAUCUGAGCUACCAAGAAGCUGUUGACAACCACCCACGAAAUGUGUGCGUUAGACCCAAUUUCCGCCAAGUAUAUAAUCUGAAAACGGGUUGACUGAAGAAGCUUUAUUAUUUAGCUCCAAAGAUUUGUCAAGGGAACCAAGUCUCACCAGGUUAAACCCUAAACUUUAUUUUCUACUGCCACCAGAUUGUAAUCACUUUGUCCAAAUUACUAACAUUUUUCUAGAGACAUGUAUGAUGUUUUGCUCAACAUAAACCAUUCCUGUCCUUUGAUUUCCACGAGACUGCUAUUAUAGCGAUCUCUGAAGACCCAGACGGUCAUGCUAUGUUGGGAAUGUCCUAAAAUCAUUUGUACUUACUCUAGUUAUAGUCGUAACGUCGAGAUUCGACAGUCGUAUAAUAUUAGGUGGUUAUAAUGUCUUCCUAGAAACCACUUAUAAUCUAUGAAUUGAGAAUUCAUUGCUAAUAUUAUAUGAUCCUAUAGGGUCACACACCUAAGCAAACUAGAUCAAUAAUAUUUUAGGUUUAAAGUAAUAUGAUAUGUACAAUAUAAAAUGUUAUAUGUAUAUAUGCAUAUGUGUUAUGCUCGUUUGCAAUUACACGAGAAGAAUGAUUAAUGUAAUCUCUUCAUAGAUUGGGCUAAGCCCAUUAACCUUUAAUUAAGGUUAUUGUACGUGUAUUAUAAAAGGCACAAGGUGUUGUGUUAAUAAGGUGCAGAGACAUAAGCCGAAACCUAAAAGAAAGAGAAUUAGAGACGAACCGUUCGUUGUCAAGUUUUUCCGGCACUAGCAUCCCGUAUCGAUCUAGUUUGUGUGCGUGUGUAUACCGAUAGAGGCACGACGUUUGGAGUGCUUGAAAUCUCGACUUGGUUUAUUCAUCUUUCCGCUGCGAAUAACCAGGUAUAUUCGGAACUCUAAGAUCUAGAUUCAUUUCAGUAUUUGCAUGAGAUCUAGGCAAACUAAAUUCAUAGGUGGAUUUAUAAAUUGUUAUAAACCGGUAUGAAUUCUAACAGUGGUAUCAGAGCCUACUUGUUUAAUAUUGAAAUUUGAUCUUGUUUAAUCUAUAAUUUGAUAUAGAUAAAUAAUUCCAAUAAUUUGAUAGUUUGAAUUUGAUGUAUUCGAUAUAAACCCUAAUUUGAUUAUGGUAUUGAUCGAUUUCUAAAACUAUAUAUUUGGAAUUAUUAGAUAAAGAUGUACGUAUUAAUUUAUUUGCUAAGGAAUAUUGAUUUUAGGAAAAUUCAAUAUUACAUAUUAAUACGGCAUGAAUGGGAUAAGUAUGUUUGAUGUGAUCAUUCGAUAUUUAUGCAAUUAGUAUAUUCCUUUUAUACGGUUUAUUAUAUUAUUAUGCAUUAUUUGCCUGUGAUAUGCGUAUUAAAUAACUAGCCAUAAAACAUUAUUGUAAUGUUAUGAAUCCAACGCUUAAAUUAGUACAAGUAUUUCACUCGUGACAUGUGAAACCAAUUAUACCAGCCGGUUCAGUUUUAUCGGUUGUAAAUUGGUUUGGUUCAUUCGAACACAUGUUUAAUCUUUCAUUUAAUUAGAAUACUAAUAUGAUUAGAUUCUCAAGAUUAAAUUAAAAUUAACGAUGUAAAAAUAAUUUUAAAAUACAUAUAAGAUAUGUAUAGUUAUAUUUAUAUUUUAUAUUUGAUAUAAAUUUUAAAUAUAAAAUUAAAAUUGAAUUAAAUUUGUUCCUCAAUUAAUUUCAAGUAUUUUCGAUGUCUGUCCAAUCUUAUCAACUAUCAAGGCUCGUUUCGUUGUAAGAUGGGCUUGCCAAAGUAAGGUGUCUGCAAUUACAUGAGUGAGGUGGAUGGUAACGGUUACCAUCCACAUUAAGAUUGGUUUACUUGACUAGGCUAUCAAAACGGUUUUGGGCUUAGAGACAUAGGUUGGAUAAGACAUAAGAUGUCAUCUGACAACCAAGAAUUAUAUUGGAUAUAAUUAGUAAAGUGUUGCUUACCUAAAUAGCUAUACAUUCGGGCGAUGAGCCAAAGCUCACUCGGAUUUUAGUGAAAUAUGGAUCUUGGAUAUUAUAUUCAGUUUGAGGAAAAUGUUUUGAAUAUAAUAUGAGUUUUCUUAAUUGUUAAGAUUUCUCUAAUUCCUGAACAUCAUAUUAAUAUUCGUUAUUCCUCUAUUCCAGCAAUGUUAACUCCUCACAACCCAUUUUCGUUCCAAUAUGCCCUUAAGAAGGACAAAUUGAAUGGAUCAAAUUUCCUUCAAUGGUAUCGAAACCCGAGAAUUGUUCUCAAACAAGAGUUUAAACCCUACUUGGAAGAUCUGAAAAGGAAAAAGACUUUUGAAACAUCGUCUAAGGGUAUUUAUGUUAUAGAAGUAAAUGUUACUACUUCUGGUUCUACUUCUUGGGUAUUGGAUACCGGCUGCGGUGCUCAUAUUUGUACGAAUAUGAAUGGCCUAAGCAAAAGUAGAAUUUUGGAGAAAGGUCAAG
RNAcentral lists this long non-coding RNA (88460 nucleotides) under Brassica napus (rape). Its description in RNAcentral is "long non-coding RNA (BNAP_LNC023669)". The stretch from base 12409 to 12533 matches the Rfam family "MIR9563 microRNA precursor family". Lineage: Eukaryota; Viridiplantae; Streptophyta; Magnoliopsida; Brassicales; Brassicaceae. The record is from RNAcentral.